UUUAACUAGUGUUGUACCCAUUCGUUGAAUACAAAUUGCCUAAAAAUAAUAAAUUAUUUAGUGUAGUUCACAAAAAUAUUUGCAUAAAAUACAAACUUAUUGUAUAAUCUAUUAUAGCCUUUCUUAAAUACAUUGUUAUUCAAAAAUAAUCUUAUAAUGUAAAUUUAAACAUCUAAUUCAGUGAUUAAUAAAUUCAAAAAAUGCAAAAAAAAAAUUGACAAUAGAUGACAUUCAAAAACUUGAAAAUAGGGAAGAUCAAAUUUUGGCUGAUCUUCUGUAAAUAAAAGAAUGGCCAACCCGUUACCAAAACAUCAAUUUUGGUACUUAAUAUAAAUGGCUUAAAGGUUAAUGUGAAAAGAAAAGAAGCCGAAUGAAAUAUUAAUAAAAGAUAAGAAUUCAGAAUCAAUCAAGUAAUAGGAACACAGCAACCUUCUAAAUCUGUUCAUGGCUAAUAGAAACCAAAAUGAAAACAUAAGAUGUAUUUUGCUAUUAAAUCAAAAAACAUAAAAAAAUCUAAAUAGUCUGAUGUAUAUUGCAUGACGUGAACUGCUGUAUGAGAAUGAAUUUGAUGUCUUGCCAUUUAUGUAAUCAGUGAUACUUUCUUGUUCUUUAGAAACUUUCUACCAAAGUCUAAAAGAAAACAUUGAAAACUGCACAAAAUUUUUUUAACCCCAGAAACCUAGAAAAUAAAAAAAAAUUAAUAUGUUGUUGAAGAUAAUUAAUAAAUUGUCAAAGGCAAUUAAAAAAUCGUGUGAAAACACAUAGUUCAAAAGGCUACUUUUAAAUCACUAACCAAAAAAACAAUAUGUAUUCUACUUGAAUUGAAGAGUGAAUCCAUAAAUUGAAAUAACAAAUUAAUUACAAAAACCUUACCAGAAAUAAAAACCAAACUGUAACUUUUGAAGACUUAGAAAAUUCAAAUUCAAUGACCUAACUAUGAAGAAGGUAUAGGAAAUUACAGAUCACAUAUAGCGAGUAUAAACAACGUCCAAAUGCGGUCCUUGCAUUGAAGGGAAUAAAAACGAAGUUUCAAAUCCGGUCCUUGCAUUGAAGUAAAAAAAAAACUUUCCAAAAAUAUUGUGGAAAAGUGUAAAUAUUUGCACUGCUUGAUAAAGUGAUGAGUAAUAGAUCGAUAACCAUAUAUAUGAAUAAAAAUGUAGAGCAUCUUCGAUAGCGAUAAUCUGAUAAAGAUAAUCUAAUAUUUGAAUUGAUAUUUCAAACUUUUGAGUUGAAUAUAAGAGAGAGUUAAAAACAUAAUUCAAAAUUAUUUAUACUAAUCCCCAUGAAAUUUAGGCUUGACGAUUAAGGUUAAGGAAAAAAAAGGUGAGAGAAUGAAAGAAAUAAUUAUGAAAGGAUUAUCUAGAAUUGUAAAGUUAAGAGAAAAAAGAGGGAUAGAAUAGUGUGGGUUAUUAGGGGAUUAACUCAUAGAGUGUGUUACACCUACUUGCUAUGUCAAUACGGUUACCCGCCCGCGGGGGGUUAGUGGGGAGGGGGUUGGGCCUAGGGGUGGGGCUGGGGCAGGUGAAAUAUUUCCCCCCCCACUUAGAAACGGGGCGGGGGGCAGGGGAGUGUUACCCCCACCCCAUCUCCCGCCCCGCCACCCGCUUUAAAAAAAUAAAUAUAUAAAAAAUAUAUAAAUAUAAUUAUAUAUAUAAUAUAUAAUUUAAUUAGUUAUAAACUUAUGAUAAUUAUAUUAUUAGUUAUAUGUAUUAUAUAAAUGUCUAUUAGUAUAUAUAAUAUAAUUGAUAUUAUUAAUUAUACUAAUAAUUAUACAUGUGUACUAAUACAAAUUAUUAAUUGGUUAUAUUAAAUUUAAUAAUACAUUUAUACUAAAUCUCUAAUUACACUUAAUACAAUAAUAUUUUUUUCUUAAAAAGGCACAAGCACAAUAAUGAAUUAGUGAUUGUAUUUGUGCCAAAAGUGAAAAUUUGACUACUUUAGUUAUAUUUAUUUCAUCAUGUUGGAUUGUAUGCAAAUAUUUUUCGUUCGAUUGUUUUUGUAAGAUUCAAUUGUAAAAUUAUAAUGAAUAAUAAUUUGAUGAUGUGUUAAUAUUUUAGUACUUGAUUAUUUGCUAAAAUUUAACUAUAAUAAAAUUAUAUAACAAAUUUUUAUUAACUCCGUGGGGAAAGUGGGGCCGGGGGAGCGGGGGACGGGGGAUGGGGCGAGGGCGGGGGGAGUUUGUAGGCAGCGGGGCGGGGGAUGGGAGAGGGGUCUCCCGCCCCAUUGCCAUCCCUAUAUGUCAGUAAGCCACGUAGGAAAGAGGUAAACUAUAAGGAUAAGGAUAAGAAUACGACUUUAUUAUAUAUAUAUAUAUAUAUAUAUGAUUGGAAUUUUAUUUUUUCCAUAAAUUUCAUGCUAUGCACUAUGUCUUAAUAACGCACUUAAUAAUAAAAUUUAUUAAGAAUCCUAUUAGGAAACUACUUGUCGUCUCGUUAAGCCACGUAGAAAAGAGAAAACAUGAAAGGAUAAGAAUAAGGAUACGACUUUAUUAUAUAUAUAUAUAUAUAUGAUAAGUAUAAUUAACCCUUUUUUAUUUUUUAAACUACAAUGUUACCUAUAGCCUUUAAAUUUUUUAAGUGCAGUCCUUUAGGACUAAAUUUAAACUCAUGAAAUAUGUAUGUAAAGUUGUAAGUCACCAAUUUAUAGGGAAUUUUUUUAUAUACUAUUUUAACUAUAUAUCAUUACCAGAUAUUUAUGAUGUAUUUAUGAUAUCAUCCGAUUCGAUUCCUGAUUAAAUCCUGUCGAACUCAUUGACCCUUGACCCCUGAGUUCGGUCGAGUUGAUACUCGGUUCGAAUAUGAAAAUAUAGUCAAAUUGGUGCUACAAUUUGACUCCGAUGCCAUACCAACUAAUCUCUUAAUAUUCUUUACCUUAAUCGUGAAAGUAUAAUUGUGCAGGAGUUCAUUUCUCAACUUUUCCACAUCAAAAUGAUCCAAAAUUAAUUAUUGAAUAAUGUUUAAUUCAGUUCUAUUUUUUUUAAGCUACUCUCCACCUACCUACCAUUUUGAAUAUCAUCUUUGUCUCUCACUUCCUUUCUCCUUAAGGUCCAAAGAAAAAGCUCUCGAAACCUUAAACUUAUACAUAAGAGGAUUAUAUAAGAUUUUCAAAACUCGUAGGCAUUGUUUGCAAAUAUGUUCAAUAUAAAGAAUUGCUUUUGAAAAAUAUUUUUCCAAUAAUAAGAUUAGGGGUUAGGCUAACAUAGGCAGUAAGCAUGUAUACCUGUACAUAAAGCAUACUGUUUAAUAAAUUUGUUAUGAAAAAAAUAUAAAUAGGAAGAACAAACUGUUGAUUAAGAAAUUUGUUUAUUGAUGAUAUGAAUAUAUAGACAAAUACUACCAAAUCUAAUUUGUAAUAUGUAUAACAUAUAAACAUCCAUAUGUAAAAAAUAGAAACAUUCAUAUACAACAAUAAACAAAGUUAGUAGUAAGGCAUUGUUAUUUUACUGGAAGCAUAUUUUAUUUCAAGACUAUUAGAGAAUUCCAAAAAUACCUAAUUAUCACUUUAUAAGGGCAAAAAGGUUCAAAUUUGACUUUGGACAAACAUUCUGGGUCUUUUUUUUUUUUUUUUAAACAACGAAGGUUCUCAGUUGACUUUUUUAGUUUCUCCUAAGACAAAUCUUCUUUAUUAAGGUGAUUGAAUUUUUUAUUUUAUUUUGGAUGAACUUCUUUUGCCUAUUUGGAUAAAAGAGUUAUUUUCUCUCUAGCUAAACUCUUAAUUCAUCUAAUAGUUAUUUAUUAGAGGCAAUAUAUCAAAUUAUUUUAAAUUCAAUAACAUUAAAAACUUAAAUUUGAAAUAAAUUGUGUUGGGGAAUUCUUUUGGUAUUAAUAAACUGAAUGCCAUUCAAUAAAAGGUACAAUUCAAGAAUAAUGAAAACAUAUAAAUUCAAAUAGUAUUAACACAAAAGUGCAUCGAUCAAAAUUUGUAUCCAUGAAUAUAGUACAAAUAAAAGAGAAAUUUAGAACAUAGAGAUACAAAAAACUAAUUAACAUAGGACAUAAUCCAUAGGCAGAUAUAAGCAAGUGAGAUAUAAAAUGCAAAGCAACAAAAGUUGCAAAAAAGGAACAUUUCAAAAACAAAAAGAAAAAAGAAAUACAAAUUAAGAGGCUUAUUGAAAGUGUCAUAAAUGAUGAUCUAAAUAAGCAAAGAGAGAUAUUAUUUGUACUCUUUUGCUUGUUAGUAACAAUCCUUAUAGCUUUUCUAACUCACAUGAAAGGAUAAAAAUGCCUAUAAUUUUCAUUAUAAGUUUAAUGAAUUUAUAGGGGUAUUUUUUUUUUAUUGAAUUUACAUAGUUAAAAUGUCAAAGAAUCCCCAUACAAAAAAUACCUAUAAAUCAUGAUAUCCCUAAACAAUAGACACAGAUAUGAGAAUUUCUAAAAUCAAGGAGGUGAGACAUCUUUUUAUUUGUUUUAGUUGCUUAAAUCCUAUGUUGUUUAGUAUAGAAUAUUUCAGUGUCAAAAGAAGUGCCAUUAACAAUUCCUUAAAGCAAAUAAGAUAUGUAAUUAAAAUGUCAAAAGAAGUGCCACUAACAUUUGCUUAAACAAAUAAUGACAUAUGCUUUGUUAGGAAAGAACUCUUGCGACAAAAUAUCAAAAUGCAUCAAAAGAGGUAGAAUAUAAUGGAAGACUCCGAUAGCACAACCAUGAGCAAUAAAACAAAAGGAAGGUAAGAAAAGCAUAAUGAAUAAGGAAAAGAGUUAUUCAUAACAAGGGAGAAGAGAAUAAGAACCAGCAACGCAUAGCAACAUAACAAAGAAGAAUAGAAGAAGAAGAUAAUGUUGAACAAAGAAUACGGGUAAGGAUUAAGGAUGUACAUGAGCCUAAUUAAUGCCAAAAACUACAAUGUUCAAUAUUCUUUGUGUAUUUUUAAUAAAUUUGAAAUUGUGCUCAAACUUGACAUGUAUAUCAACCGAGUUGAACUUAACGAGCUUUUAUGAGACCAAGCUCAUAUCUUCAACUAUUUACAUAUGAAUUUUUUAAUCUUACACUAAAUUUUGUUAAUUCUUCACUUGAUUUAGUUGGUGAACCAAGAUCAGAUAAGCUUUUAUUGAGUAUUGAGUAACUUAAUUCAACUUGUGAGAUACACAAAAACAUAUUUUGCCCACAUCAAUGUGAAAAAGUGCUUCCAUAUCAAAAUAAUACAAAUUGCUAAGAAAAAGUUUAAACAUUAUCAUAACACAUAGCUUGUCGAAACACCCUUAAACCAACACAUGAAAGCCACUUGAAUAAUAACACUAGGAGUAUUUCUUUUCUAUUACGGAGAGGUGCUUUAAAAAAAAGUGACAUAGGUGAUGAGAAGUUGAAUAGUUCUGGCUUAGUUACUAAUUACCUGUUAUUUAGUGCAUAUGUCCAUAGUUCAAUUGUGCAUAUUUCCAGCUUCAAAGCAAAAAUUAUGCGUGUUUCCACCUCUAAACCUCAAUUUAGGGUUCGUUUGGAAGUGGAGGAUUUGGACAGAAAAGAAAAAGAAAGAUGAGAAAGUUAAAUUUUCCUUCAUUUGUUAGUUUUUAGUAGGAAAUAAAAGAAGGAAAAUGGAAGGAUUUAAGAGAAUGAAUACUAGGCAAAAUUUUUCCUCCCAAAUUGGAGAGAAAUGGAGAGAAAGUUGGAGGAAACUCGUGAAAUUUUUUUUACCUCCGUUUGGAUUAGCUGUUUUUGGGGGUGUCUUUGAAAAAUUUUAUUGUAGCAAAGUUUUUAGAGUAUAUUUUGGGAUAUUUUUAGAAAAUAUUUUGAAAUAUUUAAGAGUAGUAGAGUUUUUAAAAUAUAUUUUGGAAAAUUUUUAAACAUUAAAAAAAUUUAGACUACUUUUUAUGGUACCUUUUAGAAUACUUUUAAAAAUUUUUUAUAGUAUUUGAAGAAUAGAAGGAUACAAACAGAAACAAAUAUUUAAUGACUUUCAUAUCCAAAAUCAUUCCACUAAUUCUCAAAACUCCCAAACAACAUAACAAUUCCUUCUUUUCUCUUCUCUUCUCUCAUAACUUAAGUUUCCUUCUUCUCUUUCUAUCCUAAACUCCCAAACUUAGCCUUAGUUAGGGAUGUAAUCGAGCCAAGUCGAGCUUGAGUAUCGCCAUACUUGAGCUCGACUCGACUCAUAUACACAGAAGCUCGAGCUCGACUCGAGCUCGAUCGAGUCCAAAAAUCGAUACUCGUAGCUCGACUCGAAGAAUUUCCUUUAGGCUCGAAACUCGAUUCGAUAAGGCUCGACCUUUAGUCAAGCCUUAUCAAGUCGAGUCUUAUCAAGCUUUUUGACUCGAUUUGACCAAAAAAUGAGAUCAAAGGUGACGUUUUGGGAAGAUUCAAAGGCAAGCAAGUAGCUAUCAGCUGGAGUAAAUGAGGCAUAAAAUCCAUGAUUCAUCAAAACAAAUACAACCAAAAGUAUCCACAUUCUACCUCCCACAGUUAGCAUUUUUAACACCCCUAAAAAUCAAAUUCACCACAAAGAAGAAUAGAGAAGAAAAAAGGGAAAUUCCCACUUGCUGGAUUGCUUGACAUGAAACUUUCAAAUUCAGCAAUUACCCACCAACGGUAGGUGCCCACAAGAGCAACAAAAAAUGGAUGAUUCUAAUUCCUCGGAUCAUAGUUCCUAAGUGUGCUGCAAAAGUACCCAAACUAACCAAAAUUCCCCACAAAAUUCCAAAACUCAGCAAAACAUGAGCUGAGCCACCAAAUUGAGAGACAAACAAUUAUCUCAAACAGCCACAAUAUCCCAACUACCACAAGCUCAAUUCAGAAACCAAUGCCAAGAUCUAUCCAGAAAUUCCUUUUCCCCACAAAUAUCACUAAUUACUAACUAAAGAAAGCUGCUUUAAACAAGAACAUGUCAGAAAAAUAUGUUCCUGGUUCAGAAAUGGACCAUAGUCCAGCAGAAUUACAAGUGUUUGAACAGGAUAUAGAAGAAUGAAGUUGAAAACUCUUGUCACUAACCUGACCCAGCAAAGAUGACCUCAAUACCACCAUUAAAAUGGAAUCCCAGAGGCUCGAGCCUUUUACAGCAAAUUGCAACAGCUCUUUCCAGGCUGUUGAUUAGGCUGUCAUUUUAAACAGAGGAAAGAGCAAAAGAAUUGGACCCACAAGCAAAACCUCUGAACCUUAUACCACACACGACACACUCAAAAAACAAGUUUUCUAGACAUUUAUCCUACACAUUUGCAUGUCAUUAACCAGCGGCCAGCCUGCUCACACAAUAGUCAUACAUUCGGCAAAUGAAAGAAAAAGGCUUUAAAAUAUAAACAUACUCCACAAUAUAUAAUAAGUUACGUCUCAUAAAUUAACAAGGUCCAAAUUAUGAGCUAAUCUAGAUUUAGAAACAUAAAUCUUCAAAGCUUUGGCAAGUCGAAUUCUUUGAUUGUCUUGGCUUCCUACAAAAAGCAUAGAGGUAAAAACACAAAAAAAGUUACAUAACUUCCCAAAAGAAUAAAUUAACUUAUACUCAAUAACUCAAAUAUAAAAGUUUGGUAGUAAAACAAUAAAGCUGACCUUCAUCUUCUUUUUGAUGCCGUGAAGAUUCCUACACCAAUCUCCUGCGCACAUCAAUACUUGAACUGUCUCGGGGUGAAGUGCUGCUCGAUAGGUGUCAAUUACUCUAGUUCCGACACUAAAAGUGGCCUCCGAUGCAACUGUAGUUAUCGGAAUGGCCAAUAUAUCGCUAGCCAUUCGAGAAAGUACUGGAUAUGAGAUUCGAUUUAUUUUCCACCACCCCAAACAAUCAAAUUCAUCGAGAUCUUCUCCAAUCUUUUGGCGAGACUUGUCUAAAUAAUCAACCAAUUCUGACUUAUGAGGUUCGCUAGUCUCGACUUCAUCACAAUAUUGAUCAAAAUCACCCCAUCUAGUCUUCUUGGUCGCAUUUGUUCCUUGCCUUUGGGAAGAGCUAGAAGCCAUUGGCCCUCCUGUUGGAUUCGCCGCUAGAGCAACAUACUCAUCAUAUAACUCAAAUAGCACUCGGCGAAUGGUGGAAAUGUUAUGAGAAGCCUCUGAAGGUAGAUACAUUUGAGGGUAGGUGAAGUCCACAACCCUCAUUUUCUGUCUUGGAUCUAAAAUGGCAGCCACGGCCAAUAUCAAAUUACAUUCACCCCAAUACUUGUCAAACUUAGUUUUCAUCCUUCGAACUAUGGCCCGAAUGAAGGGGUCUUCAUCAUUGACUCGAGCAUCCAACACUUUUUUUAUCUUCACCAACUCUUGAAGGAAAAGAUUGCUCGUAGAUAAUCUGAACCAGAAAUUAUAUGUGUGCACUCCCAAAAUUUUUCCAAGACCGAACAAACCUUUUCAGCUUUUUUCCAAUCCUCAGCAGAUGGGCAAAAAUCGUAACUUUGCUCUCUAUCUUGGGAACGGGGAAAAACAUCCUUAAAUUUGAUGGCACAAUUCAGCAUCUCAAAUGUGGCAUUCCAUCUUGUCUUACAAUCGUAAAGCAACUUUUUUCCUGGUAUAUGGAGUUGUUGAGCAAUUUCAGCAAACAUCAAUGCACGCCCCUCUGAUCGAUUCACAAAUUCCACGGAAUCCCUAAUGGCUUUGGUGAUGUCCACAAUCUCAGAAAUGCCAUCUUGAACUACAAGGUUCAAGAUGUGUGCACAGCAUCGAACAUGGAACAAUUUUCCAUCACAAAGAAGCUUUUUGGACCUGGAGAUGUCAUCUCUUAAUAUUCUAACAGUUACAUCAUUGUUCGAGGCAUUAUCAACUGAUAUGCUGUAAAUUUUGUGCUCAAUGCCCCACUCUUUUGCACUUUUAAAAAUUGAAGAUGCUAUCUCAACUCCUCGGUGAGGCGGUGGUAUAUGUACCAAACUCAAGACUCGCUUUUGUAGUUUCCAAUCAGAAUCAAUCCAAUGCCCGGUGAUGACCAUGUACUCGAUCUUUUGAUUUUUCGACUUCCAAAAAUCGGUUGUGAUGCUCACUCUUUCCACAUUUUUCAACUUGUUCCUCAACUUAUUUUUUUCAAGCUCAUAUACUUGCAUACAAUCAUUUUUUGCUGUUGCUCGAGAGAUUUUCUUCCACUCUGGCACCGCUCGUUUCAUCAUAAGAUUGAAGCCUUCUUCUUCUAAUAUGGUGAAUGGAUGCUCAUGCAUUAGCACCCAAUGUGCAGCUGCCUCUCUAACUUUCUCCAUGUCAAACUUUCCGCUCAAGGGUGGCAAAGUCGGAAAAGAAUCAUCAGCUGGCUGGAAAUUUAAUUUUGUUUGCUGCUCAGCCUUUCUAAUGCUUGCUUUUCGGGCUGAACAUCUAUUCCGAUGUCUCCACAUGCUACUUGUUUGCUUUGACUUGCCUUUUGACAGCUUUUUCUUGCAAUGCUUGCAAAUGGCAUAAUUCAAUCCAUUUUCCUCAACUUCGUCAAAAUCAUCCCAAGCCUCAGAUGUUUUAUUUCUUUUAGGGAUCUGGAAUUCAUCUUCAGCUUCAGUCAUUUCCCGCGUGUCUCCUCCUAUUUGACCAGUUGGUUCUUCUUCUUGUUCUUGUUCUUCAAGAGCAAAUACUUGAACUCCAGCUGUUGUUGUAUCAUUACUUAUGAAAACAGGGGUAUCCAAUGUGAAUGGAGUAGUUGAAUCAUGAGCAGAUGAUCGCGGGAUAGAAGAUACCUCGGGAGGACUAAUUGACAUACCUACAAUUUACCCAUAAAGUGAAUAUAAACAUUCAUUAGUACCAGCAUAUCACCUCAAAAAAACUGCCCAACAUAUUAUACAUUUAGCUUACCAACUCCUUCGGCAUUGCUUUCUAAUCUUGAGCAACUCGUGGAAUGUCUAGUGCCACUUUGCAUUUUCUUGACAAAGAUUCUGCCCGACUGGAUUCAGAAGACAUGAAGGUAGUAAGACAUCCAAAACAGCAAAGUGUGGUCUAAGAAGAAGCAGAAAAAGAAAAAGAAUAAGCAUGUGAGGUUGCUCAAAUCCGAAUUUGGGCAAAUUCAUCACACCUAGUUGGUCAAAUCAUAACACAAAGGAUUUUGAAGUCAAUCUUAGCUAUAUUUUUGCACACCAUUAUCCUAAGUCUGAUUUUUUAAGAGCACAAAUUAAAAUUAUUUACAUAAAUAUUGCACGAUUCCUAAAUCUGCAUCCGGUAUUUGGCGCUUCUUGAGCGCCCACAGAAUUGAAGUACUUAGAAAUCCGCAGAUGCAUCAUAUGACGCAUACUAUUACUAGCAAAUGGUGUCCAUUAUCCAGUAAAAGGAAAAAGAAAAGCCAAAGAGAUAUAGCGUCCUCAGGCUCUACUUCCCAACUGUCUUCAUUAAAAUUGUGUAAAACGUCUACUAAUGAUGGCUGAUAUUAAAAUAUGUUGUCAUCAUAACUUCUCAGCUCCAAGCUUUAAUAGAUGAAGAGGUGUAAAAAUUAAUAAUGGAACUUAAUAGGAUUUAUCAGCUCAGCCACAGUAGGGUAAUAAAAUCUAUACUGCGUAGUUGUAAUUUGUAAAAUAACUAGAAGCUACUACAAAUUAAUGAGUUCAAAUAGUUACAAAAACUUUGAUUUGCAAUUUGCCCACCUUCAAGAUCUGUGGGAGUUCACAUACUCCGCCUGGAAGAGGACUGCAACAAGGACACAGAAUCCUAAGACAUUUUUCUACAUACAGCACAAUUUUGAAUUCAAAAACUGUUGCCUGUUAGAUAUGGCUCGAAUUGAACUAAGCUCGACAAUGACUAAUCAAGAAGCCCUGAUCCGGACUCCAUCAGAAGGUUUUCAUUUUUCUUCGAUUUUAGUAUUUUUUUAGUUCAUCAGUAGGUUGUUUGAUAGAAGUUGUGAAGCACCGAGGCAUAAUCCAAGAAAGUUCGACAAAGCAAAUCAUCAAGCAAAGGAUACCAGAAGAGCUGCGGUGAAAAUUACCAAGACACCAACUUUAACAUUAGAGCAGAGACAGACAUGCCAGUAACCAGAUGCGAUGGCGAUGGCAAUGGAGUCUCACAGAUGCGGUGAGCAACGGCGUCGGCCACGAACGAGAGACUGAGAGUAAUAGAGUGAGGGUGUAGAUCUAAAUCAGUCAGAGUCAGUGGUUGCCGGCUGGUAAAGUGAAUUUUUUGGCGAGGCUUUCUUCGAAUAGAGAAGAAAGUCGAACAGAGAAGGAAGAAAAGACCUUUUUUUCUAGACAUUUUUUCUUUUUAGUGCUUUUUACAAUUAUGUUAUUACUUUUUUGCCAUUAUAGGAUUUUAUUAUAAAGAAGAGUAUAUUGUAAAUUUCAUAUAACUUAUACCCAUAAUGGUCAUUUUAUAAUUAUAAUAAAUAUAUAUUAUUUAAAUUAUAAAUAUUUUAUUUAAAUAACUCCGGCUCGUCAAGCUACUCGACGAGCCUCAAGCCCGGAAAAUGUGACUCGAAACUCGACUCGAUUUUCAUUCGAGCUACUCGAAACUCGGCUCGAACUCGGUCAACCCGAGUUCGAGCCGAGUUGUUGACCACUCGGCUCGCGUACAUCCCUAGCCUUAGUGCCUACACUUUCUACAUAUUCUUAUUGUUCUAAUGUACUUGUACUUAACUAAUCUCCAUGUCCCAUAUAGCAAAAUGACAUAUCUCGCGAUGUUCUCGGUGCCAUUAAUUACUAACUUGGGGGACCAAUCCGUAAAACUGACAAUCAAAUUUGAUAAGAUAGCGGGCCACUAUAGCAAAUACCCAAAACAUUUGAAUUGAGCCCAGAAAGGUCCCUCCCUCGCUCCAGCCCCUACAGUAUUCACUUUCUGGGCUGUUUUCUAGGCUGCCUAAGAAUGGGUUUAUACUUGAAUCUUGUUGAUUUCCAUGUUUAAUUCCACUGGAUUUAUCGUAAUUCAAUUCGUGUUUUCAAGAAUUCAGGCCUCGUGAAGCCUUAAUCCCUUACGUUUUACAGUUCUUGGCCAUGGCGUCUGGGGAUUCCCCUCGAGCCCGAAUCGACCAGGUAUCCCUAUUUCUCCAUCCUUAAGUCAUAAAAUGACAAGGACAAAAGGGAUAUGUAAACUUGUGUAUGGAUAUGCUAGAGUAAAAAAAUUUAUGCAUUUUUUCUGUAAAAAUUUGAUCUUUUUUGGAUUCUUUUAGCAUUAUUAUUUUUGGGGUUUGAGUUAUCUGGGAAAAUUCUCUUGUAUUUAACUUCUUCAUACAAUUUUGCAUUAAAAAAUAGUAUGAUUGUUAAGAAUAUUUUAGUAAAGGUGAGGUUUUUAUGUUAAAAUUCCUCCUUGUCACCUUCUAUUAAUUUUGUGAUUGUAUAUUUUGAUUGCUUGAUUUAUUUGGCUGAAUUUUAUCUAUGGUUUUUGUUUUUGGGUUUAUUUGUUGUUGUGGACAGUUCUUUGCUUCGAAGAAGAAGAGGAAGGCUAUAUCACCAAGUGUGAAGUCCAAGAAAGUUGGAAAAGAUGCAAAGAUUGCAGUUGAAGGAUCUCCUGGUACCAAAGGCUCUUUGGAUAAUUUUUUAGUAGGUUCAGAGGAGAACAAAAAUAGCCCUAAUCGGGCAGCUAGCGAAUCACCAGUUAAGCGAGUUCCAAUUAAGAGAAAUUUAACGUUGGAGAUUAGUUUAUCUUCUAAAGAUGAAAAGAAAGAUGCUCUUUUGCCGAUGGAAGUCCGUGCUCAAGGUCUUGAUUUAUUUGGAUAUGCUCAGAGGGUAAAUUCUGAAACUUCGAAUGAUUUUGGUGGUUCUGUAGCUGGAGCAAGUAAGGAAGUUCCAGAAAAUGCAACAGCUGGAGAAGCUGAAAACCCGGAAUUAAAGCGGUUUGCCACGAAUUUUUUGUCCUUGUAUUGCAGGUAUUGGCUUUAUUUUAGCAGUGAAUCCAUAGUUAAUUGAGAUGAUAAAUACAUAGGACAAAUUCUGUUCAUCUGCUGUGACUGACAAUUAGUUGGUGCUCAUCCCUGUUGUCUCUUCUAUCAUAAUUCAUAUCCUAUCCUUUCUAAUGUCAUUUACCUUGUAGUGCAAGUGUACCAUCAGAAACAAAUGUACACGCAAUUAAGAGGCAUGGUAGUCCAUCUGCACUUGAUUCAGAGGAUAGAUCAUCUAAGAGAAGGCAUUGCAAUAUUAAUAUGAGUCAGUUGCAUGUUGAAGGUGAAGGUAUUUGUUCUGGAGAUGUACAUAGCAAGCCCCUGCAGAGUGCAAUUAUUGAUGAAUCUGGAAAUGCUGUUUCCAAAUGCUCUACAGAGGUGAGUACCUAUUAGAACUACUUCUAUGACCUAAUUUACCCCAAUAGUUUUGAAGUUUGUGUAUGUCAUUACAUGACUUUUGCAGAUAGAAUUGGGUGAUAAUGAAACAGUACCUGGAACAAGCUUGAAGAGAUGUGUAAAUGCCUCUUUGACCAUUGAUGCAGCUGGAUGUAUUACACCUGGUUCACUCAAUGGUAAACUUGGACGUCAUGAAACGCCCAAGUCAGGACGUGGAAGCUCCAUAUUUUCACCUGGAGAAACUUUCUGGAAGGAAGCAAUUCAAGUUGCUGAUGGUUUGCUUAUUCCUAAAGAUAAUUUGCAUUCCCAAUUUGCUUUAGAAUCUGAACAUUUGAAGCCUGAUAAAGAGACAAGUAUGGCAAAUAAUUUACCAGACGGAGGUUGUGGCAAUAAGUUGAAUAACUUGCUGUAUGCAGGUGUUGCCAGAGAUUCUAAUGGUGGAAUUAAUUCUGUUGUUGGACCAGUAUCGAGGCACAGCAAAGAUUUGGUUAAGGAAGUUUCUCCACUUCCUGUAAAGCAUUUUGAUUUUUCUAAGAUUGAGGACAAAAACAUGGAUGAGGAAACCCCGUCUUAUGUUAAUUUAAGCUCACAACAUAUUAUUAAAGGAAAAACACCUGGUUGUGUGUCCCAAAAUCAAGAAUAUAAACAAAUUUGUCACAAUUUGAGCCUUCAGAAUAAUGCCGCUCAUACAGAAUGUGAUUUGCUUGGAGUACAAGAUAUGAUAUCCAAAUAUGAUGCCACUGAAAAUAAGUUGAAUAUUUGGGCGCAAGAUCACAGUGACAUGUUUACCACAAAGGAUAGGAGAUUGAAUGAUUUAACUCCUAAAGGUGGCUUCAAUCAAGAUGAUAGUCCUUCAAGCUUUUUACCACUUGAGGAUCGUUUGGACCUCAACAACUGGCUGCCUUCUGAAUUAUGCAGCAUAUAUAAGAAAAGAGGAAUGUCAAAAUUGUAUCCAUGGCAGGUAUGUCUUUCACCUUUGGUGAGCGCUAUCAAUAUUAGUUUGCUAACGUUGGCACUAAUGCUUUGGACCAAUUGGUUAGUCCCUACUUCAUGUUAACUUAGGUUUUGUUAUUGUGGUCCAUACUUCAUGUUAACUUAGGUUCUGUUAUUUGUUGGCUCGUUUCUAGGGUAAAAACAAUGUGAGAUGUUUAUGUUGUUGAUUGGUUUUUAAGCAAGAAAAGAUAUGUAAUAUGUAAUAUAGACAUGAUGUCUUCGCUUUUAUAUAACGACAAGAAGAAAGGGAACUCGUGAAGAGAUAUAUUGAUGGGUGAUUGAGAACCUGUGUUCCUGUACUAUGGUUCUAUGCUCAUAGAUGCAAAUCAUAUGUUGGCUGUAGGUCAAUGUUUUCUAAAGUCUUAGAAUGGACAAGGUUUGCUAUUGCUGUUAUAGGAUCUGUGCUAGAAGCCUCUGCAUUCUAAUAUGUUGGCAACUAACAUCUGGGUUCAUGUGUUGUUUUGGCAUAUCUUUCUUUCCGUCUCUAAAGAAUUUGAUAAAUUAGUUAUCAGAAAAGGUGUCAUUGUCCUGGUUGAUCAUAUUGUGCUAGGUGUCUGUACUUCAUUUUCCAUGUUGUAAACUGUCUUAAAUCUGAAAGCAGCCUUCGAUUUUGGAGAUUCAUCUGUUAUAGUGCUGGCAUAGUGGUUUGAUAGGACUUAAUAGAUGAAGUUAGGUGAUGUUUCACCUUUUUAUUUUUUAGUCUUCACCUCUAUUUGGUCCUUAUCCUAUGCUAUUUUUAGGAAUUAGUGACUUAAGAUUUCAUUUCAUGGCACAUUCAGAUGGUUCAUCUAACAGUUGAGUUAAGAUUGUUGUUUUUUCUUUAGGUUGACUGCCUUCAGGUGGAUGGUGUUUUGCAGAACAGGAAUCUUGUAUACUCUGCAUCUACAAGGUAAUUUUGCAAAUCAAUUUGUAGUUCAUUUCAAUAUCUUCAGUGAAAUUGGUCAUUCUACUACCAACUAUGUUACAUGUUGCUUUCUUUGAACAUCCAUCUAAGCUUUAUUGUCUACUGAUAUUGUUAACUUCUGAAACUCCCGGAGAAGCAUUAACUUUCAGAGAAAAUGGAAUACUUCUCACAAAAUACAAUGCUACAGUGAUAUUUUGAGCAUGAUGUUAACUGUUAUAUCUACGUAAUCUCUACUUAUACCAUGAUCUUUGUUACUGUAAAACUUAGUUGAAAUUAAUUCUUACCACAUGAUAUUCUGUUUUCCUUUUUUAUGCUCUAAUUUGUCCGUAGUCUUUCCUUAACUGCACUUUUCUAAUUUGUACAUUUGGAUGCAUUCAUUAUUGAGGUUUCUGGGGGUUUCUCUAAUUGAUUGAAUAAGCAAAAAGGAUUGCAUAUGUAAGAUACUUCGAUAAGUUUGUCCAGGUUAUCCUUUAUUUUCCUCUUUGUUUCCUGUAGUGCUGGCAAAAGUUUUGUUGCUGAGAUACUGAUGCUACGACGAAUCCUGUCAACCGGAAAAAUGGCAUUUCUUGUUCUGCCAUAUGUGUCUAUAUGUGCAGAAAAGGUGGUGUUUGGAUUUUGUUCUACAAAUAGCUUUCUCGAGGACUUGAUAUACUUGUCUUGUGUUUAUUUAGUAUCUAACUGAUGCAGGCCGAACAUCUUGAGGUGCUUUUGGAGCCACUUGGUAAGCAAGUACGUAGUUACUAUGGUAAUCAAGGUGGUGGAACUCUUCCUAAGGAUACCUCUGUGGCAGUAUGCACAAUUGAGAAAGCAAACUCCUUAAUUAACAGACUGUUAGAAGAGGGUCGUCUUUCAGAACUUGGUAUCAUUGUGAUAGAUGAACUACACAUGGUAUGUUUUCAAUUUAGUUUUUUUGUAAUGCUGCAACAAAGCUUAUUCUGCUCUCUGAUAGUUAUGUGUUUCACAGAAUCAAUUACAUGUUUUGUGUUCAUAGUAUAACAUCAUGGAUUUUUCUGGCAGGUUGGUGACCAGCAUAGGGGUUAUCUAUUGGAACUUUUGCUUACCAAACUUCGCUAUGCAGCAGGUGAAGGCAGUGCAGAAUCAUCUAGCGGGGAAAGUUCAGGUACAGGCAGCAGUAAAGCUGACCCUGUACGUGGUCUCCAAAUUGUUGGUAUGAGUGCAACUUUGCCGAAUGUAGCUGCAGUAGCUGACUGGCUUCAAGUAUGUGGUAUCUCAUUGCUGUCUAUGUUCUUUACAUGUAGAUCAUCAGAUGAAUUUUGCAGUCUUUCUUGACGAUUUACUCAGGCAGAAGCAGCUCCUCAAAUGAUAAUAUGAAAUUGAAAAAAAAAAUCUGUCAUGCACUUAAGUAAUUUGAUUAGACAGAUUAUCUGCUUUUUGUGAAGAUUGCUCUUAGGUCAGGAUGCAUCUUUUUAUGAACUGGCUUUAGGAUCUUGCCUAAUAUGCCUUUAUUCAAGCCUAUUUUGCACUGAAAUAAUUAAUUAAUUAAUGUGGAGACAUAUUUGUGUUCAGUCAUCAAUUCUUCCGGUUGAAACAAUAUUGAAAGUUUUAUACUGAUCUAUAUUCGUACAAUUAAGUGUUUCGCCUCUUCACUGAACUUCUAAUGUUGAUAAAAUUUGCUUAUGUUUGAUUUUUAUAAGAGUUGGGCAUCUUCAUUUGGCUUUAAACAGUGGCGAGAUUUUUUCCCCUUUUCAUUUUUGAGGUCAGAUGUUCAUAAUAAAAUUGAGGGAUCAAAUGGUAGGAAAAUGCUUUCUAAAAUCCAGAAAAUAAAAAACCAUCUGACGUGACUUGGAAACCUAUUAUUUUGUUAUUGAGUCAACAAAUGUUUCUUUCCUAUUUUAACUUGUCUAACAUUUUGUAACAUCGAUUGACCAUUAAAUUGGUACUCAAGUUCAAAAUUUCAGAAACAUUGUCUCAGCAGACCCUAAUAUCUCUGCUGAUUAAAAUUAUGGCCCAGUUAUUUUGUUUAUCAUCUCAUAGAAUACUAGAAAAUAAUAAAUCAACUCUGUAACUCUUUGGCUAUCAGAUAUACGGUAAGGGACCCAAAGGUUGAUUUUUGAAGGUCGUGUUUGCUGUAGGCAGCAUUCUCACAAUUGUGCUUUUGUUAUCGUGCUUUUCUUUGGGUUGCUGGUGUUGCAAUGAUAAUACCUCACAAAUGGGAGUAGACGAUAUGGAACUGGAACAUGCUUUAUAAGCUCCUCGAUGGCUAGGUGAAUCAAGUGUCGUGUUUUAUUAAACCUGCACUGACAAGGAUACCUCACGAAUGUUAUUUGAAAAACAUUUGACAGUAUGUAAUGCGCAAAACCAAUGCGUGAAUACUCGACAAUUUGAAAUAUGAAAUUAUACACUGUACAACAAUUUCCUUUUAACAUGCAUACACUGGUAUACUUGUUUAUAUGUAUCUGUAUGUAGGUGUUCUGUCUUUAGGUGUUCCAGAGUGCUACCUCGUUAGGUGAAAAAAAUAAAAGGCUGUGUGUUGUACUUUGUAACUGAUCUUUUUAUUGUCUUUUGAGCAGGCUGCUCUCUAUGAGACUGAUUUUCGGCCUGUUCCACUGGAAGAAUACAUUAAAGUGGGUUAUACCAUCUAUAACAAAGAAAUGAACAUCGUUAGGACAAUUCCUAAAAUAGCUGAUAUUGGUGGUAAAGAUCCAGAUCAUAUCGUUGAAUUAUGCAAUGAGAUUGUUCAAGAAGGUCACUCAGUUUUGAUAUUUUGCUCGAGUCGGAAAGGAUGUGAGUCAACUGCUAGACAUGUUGCAAAGUACCUUAAGAAGUUUUCUGUCAGCCCCCAGAAUGGUCAGAACGAGUUAAUGGAUCUUGAAUUUGCUAUUGAUGCCUUGCAUAGAUCUCCGGCAGGUUUAGAUCCUGUACUAGAAGAGACUCUUCCUGCUGGCGUAGCCUAUCACCAUGCUGGCCUUACGGUGUGUUUUCAAUUUAAGUCUUUUGGAAUGAAUUUUAUGCUUGCAUUAGUUGUUGUUCUCUUGUUGAACUUAUCUAUAGUGGAUUUUGUGGUCUUGCCUUUUGUGAGGAAUUGCAUUUCUUUUUGCCAAUUCUCAUAUUUCUAGUUAUCCGCAAUAUCCAUCCUAUAGUUUCCUCCUGACAUGCUGGAUCUGUAAUUGUGCUGUUUAUUGUGAAGGUUGAAGAAAGGGAAACUGUUGAAACAUGUUACCGUAAAGGAUUUGUGCGGGUCUUAACGGCUACAUCUACAUUGGCUGCUGGUGUGAACCUGCCUGCAAGGAGAGUCAUUUUCCGGCAACCUCGUAUUGGUCGUGAUUUUAUUGAUGGGACAAGAUACAGGCAGAUGGCUGGCCGAGCUGGUCGGACUGGUAUAGAUACAAAGGGAGAGAGUGUAAGUUUAGUCCUUUAGUGCUAGCUUUUGAUAUCACCUAUUUAACUGAUAGCAAUAUUUGUGUGUUAUCAUGUCCAAAAUUGGAGAGUGUUUUCUGUUUAAGAGCUGGACUAAAUGAUGUCCUUUUCCCCAUCCAUUGAUUUGCUCUGAAGAAAAUGAAAUUGUUGGAGAGCAUUUCCUGUUUCUGAACUGGACUUAAUGAUGUUCUUUUCCCAUCCACUGAUUUGCUUUCAAGAAAAUGAAAUUACUUGUAGAAUCUUUCUUUUCUUGUAUUCCAUGUGUGGUAUGAAACAAACUUCAGUUCUCUUAAGUACUUAAAGAUUCUGCAGGGAGCAAAUGAAUAAAUGAGAGGGAAUGUGUACAAAUUUUAAGGCAUUCAACUUGGUGUGGAGGGAUUAUUGUCUAUUUCCUUCUUGGUGUUUACUCUUUCAUUUUGGAGCUUUUUUAUUUGUUUGGCUAAUCUUUGGUUUCUAUUGUAAUAUCACCUAUAUAAUUAAAAAGUGUCAUCUUGAUUCUCUAUCUUUAGCUUUCCGGAUACAGGUUCUGAUUUGCAAGCCAGAAGAGACCAAAAGAAUUUUGGGGAUCUUAAAUGAGGGCUGUCCAGCACUGUAUUCUUGCUUGUCAGAAGAUAAAAAUGGGAUGACCCAUGCAAUAUUGGAAGUUGUUGCUGGCGGGAUUGUUCAAACUGCUAACGAUAUACAUCGAUAUGUAAGGUGUACACUUCUCAACUCAACAAAACCAUUUGGAGAUGUUGUGAGAUCAGCGCAGGAUUCUCUCCGCUGGCUAUGCCAUAAAAAGUUUCUUGAAUGGAGUGAAGACACUAAGCUGUAUACCACAACUCCUCUUGGCCGUGCAUCUUUCGGCAGUUCUCUCAGCCCAGAAGAGUCAAUGGUAAAUUUCUGAUUCUGCUGUAUGUCUUCAUUCUCUUUUCCAGUUUGCUUUCCUUUGAUGUCUUAACAUUGAUUUGAGGCCACUUUUUGUAAUUCUGCUCUACCAGAGAAGUGUAUUAUGUGAGUUUUUGUGAUUUUGUUAACAUUUCAUUCUGUUCCACAUUCUUAAUUUUUCCUAGAUUGUGCUGGAUGAUUUGACAAGGGCAAGGGAUGGAUUUGUGCUAGCAUCUGAUUUGCAUUUGGUAUACCUAGUAACACCGACGAAUGUGGAUGUUGAGCCAGACUGGGAGUUGUACUAUGAAAGAUUCAUGGAGUUGUCUGCUCUAGAUAAGGUAAUUUUGCUUCUUAUUCUCCACUGGUCCUCCAUAUUAAUGUCAUAUUCUGCUCCAUCUUUGGAGGAAAACAUCUUCAGUUGUGUAUGUGCUAGCAAGUUUUACACUGUUUGAUCCAUAGAGGUGUGCAUCAUCUCAUAUGACAAAUUAUGUUACAAAAUUGGCUGUUUUUAUUGCUGGAAGUAUAGGCAUGCAUGUCCCAGAAUGCUGGUUUUGAAGUAUAGCACAAAACACUUAAGGCAAAAAAUGAUGCCCAUAGAUGCAUGAUAACUGUACAGUGUCUCCUCUUUGUUUUUAUUUCCAUCUAGGCUAUUGUAUUGUUUGUACUUAGCAUCUUUGGUUCUUUUCUCAAUGGGAUUGUCUUGUCUUACGUGCUUUUGCUUGGCCUGUGAGGUCCUGUAUGUUUUACUUGGUCGAACUUAUCCAGAAUAAAACAUGACAUCAUCUUGAAGCUGGUUUAUACUGAUAGCUGUAUUUAGGACAAUAUGCGAACCAUUUGCCAAUGUUAUUUAUUUGCAUACAACUUAAAUUCUUUCCCCAUAUGAGAUGCAGUCAGUUGGCAACCGAGUUGGAGUACAAGAACCAUUUUUGAUGCGUAUGGCACAUGGAGCACCACUUCGCACCUCUAAUAGAUUGAAGAAUACCAGCAAAGGCUUGCAGGCAAAACCAAAUUGUAUUGCAAUGUGGAACUCUGCAAUGCUUUCAGAUGAACAAAUGCUUCGAGUGUCCAGACGGUUUUAUGUUGCUCUAAUCUUGUCGACACUUGUGCAGGUGAAAGUUAAUUCAAUUAUAUGCAUCUUCUUAAAAACAAUAUGCCUAUAAUUGUUUUCAUACCCUAACAAGAAAAUUUUAUACUCAUGUUCUAGGAAGUCCCCGUUGCUGAGGUGUGUGCGGUUUUUAAAGUGGCCAGAGGCAUGGUUCAAGCUUUACAAGAUAAUGCAGGAAGGUUUGCAUCCAUGGUUUCUGUUUUCUGUGAAAGGCUUGGCUGGCAUGAUCUCGCAGAUUUGGUUGCCAAGUUUCAGAAUCGUGUUUCAUUUGGAGUUAAGGCUGAGAUAGUGGAGCUUACCACCAUACCAUAUGUUAAGGUUAGUUACAUUGCCAUAUUGUCCUUUUUAAGGUUUUCAGGUGAAUCUAAACAGACACCUUUACAACUUAGGGUUCGCGAGCUAGAGCACUUUAUAAAGCUGGUCUGCGAACUCCUCAAACAAUUGCUGAGGCAUCAAUUCCUGAGAUUGCCAAAGCACUGUUUGAAUCUUCAUCAUGGGCUGCACAAGGUACAAUGUUGUAGUAUCCCUUGGGAUAUUUGUUGGUUAUAUGCUUCCUUCUGUUUUUUCUAGCUUACAUGCUUGUCAUUUUGGGUAGAUGAAGUUUAACUUUACUAUAUAUUUAGUUAAUAAUUGCAUGUAGCAUAUGCACGUUUGCACUUUGAAUUCAAGUGUGUUGACAGGCUAUUCUUCGCUUCCCCCACUCUUAUACAUUGGAGUUUAGUUCGACUUCUGCUUAUGUCAUCUGACUUUUCUUUUGUUUGAGAAUUUAUCAAACCCAUAGUGACUGGAAAUGUUAGAAUUGUGCAUUGCAUCAAUGGAGAUGACUAUGAAUUUAUCUUCCUCUUUUAUUCUUUUGCCACAUGAACUCAGUAUGUGGUCGUUGUGUGUCCCGCUUAAAUUUCAAAGGAUACAGUGGAGUUAGGUAUUCAUACACAUGUUAUAUCACAAGGCUUUGACUUCCAGUCUAAUGAUUCCAAUCGUAUUGCAGCUGCGAAAUUCGUAAUAAGAAGACCAUAUUGUGCUCAUUUGGCUUUGCCAUGUUUGUUGCAUUAUUUGUGUCUCCUGUAACUUUUCUCUGACCUGGUUCUACUCCAUGGAUAACUGGAUAUUAAAGGCACGGCACAGUGGAGAAUACAAUUGGGAGUUGCCAAGAAGAUUAAAAAUGGUGCACGAAGGAUUGUUCUUGAGAAAGCAGAAGAGGCAAGGAUUGCUGCUUUCUCAGCUUUCAAAUCACUUGGACUUGAAGUUCCACCUCUUUCUCGACCCUUAUUAUCCAUUGCUGCUGGAAAUGCACCACAGAAAGAAGCAUCCAGCUCUUCCGUAGAGGAGUCAACUAGUAGCCUUGGUGGUUUGAAACACAAUGAGCAAACUGACAAUAUAACUGGGUUUGUAUCAAAAGCUCAUGAACAGAAGUUAGCGAGGACAUCAUUUACUGGGGUAAAUUCAGCUGGUGCCAAGCAAGGUGAGGUUGUUGCCGACAAGACUGCAUCAGUGAUGGAAGGUCCUAAUGCUCCUUACAUGCAUAAUUCUACUUCUGAUUAUGUAGACAAUGCAAACACUUCCCUGUCUUGUCAAUUAUCUAGUAUUAGGCAUGGAAGAAGUGGUUAUGUUGACAAGAUCGAUAAUUUUGGGGAGCAGCAGCAAAACAGAGGCACUCCACAUACUGCAAGUAAAGAAAGGGUACUGGACAAAGGUCCCAUAAAUGCAUCCAAUAUUCCUGGCGGAUUUGACACUUUUUUAAACUGGUGGGAUAAUAGUCAAGAGUUUUACUUGGAUGUCCACUUUAACAGAAGAUCUGAAGUUAAUUCAACUGUUCUUUUUGAAAUACAUGGUAUGGCAAUUUGUUGGGAGAAUUCACCUGUGUAUUAUGUGAGUAUUCCCAAGGAUCUAUUGUUGUUUAACAGCAGAAAGACGGAUAAAAUGUUGUCAAAUAUUUCUGGUGAUAAUGGGAAUGCAGUACCUCCAAUGGAUCAGUUUGAUUUGGCCAAAUCUCGUUGGCAGAGAAUUGGAAAAAUAAUAGGGAAGAAAGAUGUCAGAAAAUUCACAUGGAAUUCAAAAGUUCAAAUUCAGGUGCUUAGGUAUCCUGCUGUUUCCAUUCAUAGGUUGGGUAACCUGAAUUCUGCUGUCAAAUCUGUGGGUCUGGAACUUAUUGAUGACUCAUAUUUUGUUCUGUCCCCUCUUCAUGUGCAAAAUUUUAUAGACCUGUCCAUUGCUGCAUGGAUCCUCUGGCCUGAUGAGGAGAAAAGUUCCAAUCCUAAUCUGGAAAAGGUAAUCAUCAGCGUCAUGUCAACAAUCUCACUAUGACUUUGAGUAAAAAGUAUUUUUUAUUAUAAAGAACUCGUUCGUUUUUCCAGUCAACUUUAAGAAAGAACAUUAUUAUGUUUGGUAUAGCCGUGAGUCAAGGAUUCAAAAGUAUAUAGUACUUUUUUUAUUGAUUUGGCAUCAGCAGUAAGUGAUGGUACUGUAAUUCAUCAUGGAAGAGGAGUACUAAAUUAUAUCUAAAAACUAUACGUGAUUUGAUCAUUCCUGUGCACUGCUUUCCGGAUUUAGUGCAGCAUGGGAUAGAAAAAAUGAAUUAAGUUGUGUUUGCCACUGUACAAAUUCUAUGAGUAGAAAAAUAAGAUCUUUGCCUAAUUUGUUUGCUUAAAUUAUGGCUAGAAGUAUGAGUAUUUGUAGUUAUGCAAAGUUUAUAUCUGCAUGUGUAAAUGGUGGAUUUAUGAAACCAAAAUCAGGAGACGUGUUAUAACUUAUAUCUUUGAAAUUUUAUCAUUUCUUAAUGUUACCUUUUGUUAAUAUCCUACUAUUAAUAAAGCGGGAGCAGCCAGUUUGGUGUUAAAAGAAAUAUCAGUUUUUGUAUUUCCAAAAAACAUCCUUCUUCAAGAUGUGCAGGUUUUGUAUUUUACUGAUCAAAUAAGUACUGCUUAGUUUGUUAUGAUCAGUUAUAAAUACUAUUAAUUAGUCUUAACAUUUUGUUUCUUUCUACAAUCCAUAUUUGUUUACACAAAAUUGUAACUUUUUGACCUUUUUUCUUUUUUAAAAUUUGCACACCUGUGCAUCAAUGACAGGUAAUCAUGAAUUCUCCAAUUUUAGGUGUUGAAGUUACUUAUUUUAUCAAAGGAAAGAGUUCUAGUUUUGGCAAUUUAACUAACAGUUGAGUGUCAUACUUUUGAAUUCGGCUGAAGAUUGUAAAACUCAAUAAAAGAUUUAUAUCUAUGUUCUGAUUGCAAUUUAUAUUGGGCCCAUCAAGAACUCAUAAUGUGGAGAUUGUUUUGGAAGAAAGUGCAUAAUGCUAGAACUUCUAAGGAUCUUUCUCUUUGGACAGCUCAUAAUUCUAUGUGUGUGAAUAAUUUCUUUUUUCUCCUGAUGACAGUAAUUGUUUUUGUUUAUCGAUUCUCAACUGUAUUAGGACGAAAAAUAGGUUGUAGAUAGAAAGUUAUAAGCAUCUUGGGGUGAAGGCUUUUUCAUGUGUUUUAUGAUGUGUGAUAUAAAUCUAAACACUUCUUUGGAAGUUUUAACUUGUUUACAUCUCACGAGUAAUUUCUGAUUAUAUGUUUCUUUGUGUUUACUUGUAUUUUCUGAAUUCUAUGUGUUAUAUAGGAAAUUAAGAAAAGGUUAUCCUGCGAAGCGGCAGCAGCUGCUAGCAGGAAUGGUAGAUGGAAGAAUCAAAUGCGAAGAGCUGCUCAUAAUGGUUGCUGCAGACGGGUUGCACAAAUACGAGCAUUAUCUUCUGUCCUUUGGAAAUUACUAAUAUCUGAAGAACUUGUUGAAGCCUUUUUGAGCAUUGAAAUCCCACUGGUGAGAAUUUUUCUUUAUGAGAGAAGGAUAAAGCUAGUUUAAUUUAAAUACAUUUUGCAUGGAGGAUGAUAGAUGUGUUUUAUAGAUUUUCCACAACUUUGAAUGUGCAUCCAACAACGAAAAUUGGAUGGAAAGUAAAUUGAAUUUGUGGUGGCUUUGGAAAUGUUAAUUUGGGAAACAGAUAAAUCUUCUGUUCAAGCAACCAGUGAUGAUAGAAAUGUUUCUAUAAAGAGACUUCUAUUCACACAAUGGCUAGGCCCUGGAUUCUCUCCACUGAAAUCAGCUGAUGAUUUUAUUUCGAUUAGUGGGAACCACCAUCAUCUAAUUCUGAAAGAGAAUAUUCAUUUUUCAAAAAAGAAACAUUUGCUGGAUUAGGCAGUGGAUUUUCUGAACUGACGUCUGUUGAUUAUUUGAUAUGUAUGAUUGCAAAUUCUUGAAAUUACGUACUAGAAGAAAUAUUUUUCAUUGCUUAGUAGAAUUGGCUUUCGCUGCUUUUCCUUUUCUGGCUUGUAUAUCUUUUAUGUCUGUGCUUUUCAGAAGGACAUGCUCUCUUGCUCGCUUCUAUGUACGUUCCUCAAUAUAAAUUUUUGUUAUCUUGUUUUGCAGGUCAAUGUUCUUGCAGAUAUGGAGCUUUGGGGCAUUGGCGUUGACAUGGAAGGAUGCCUUCGUGCACGGAAUAUCUUGGGAAAAAAAUUAAAAUAUCUUGAGAAAGAAGCUCACCAGUUGGCUGGGAUGUCAUUUUCAUUAUACAUGGCUGCAGAUAUUGCAAAUGUACUGUAUGAACACUUGAAGAUUCCUAUACCAGAAGGGCACAACAAAGGCAAAUAUCACCCUAGUACUGACAAGCGUUGUCUUGAUUUGCUGAGGUAUUAAAGGAGAUUUAGUGCUAAUUGCUUUUUAUUAUGGGACAACCUUUUUAUAUGCCAAUAAGCCUACUAAUUAUGAAAGUUCUAUGAACUUUAUGUUAAGCAACAUCUACAUAACUUGCUGGUCCAGCUGGCUGAACUGGAAAACUGGUGCAGCAAGCCUUGGCAAUCUUGUCUAUUGAAAUAUUUUAGCUUGCUUUUUGCUUCAAUAUGAUUGUCUUAAUUGUGAAGUAAACCACAAAUAAUGUAAACCAUUCAGUCCUGAAUGAAUCUUUACUAUCUGAUAGGAAUUAAUCAUUUCAUCAGGAAAAAAAUCAACCAUAAAUAUGAUCCUAUCAUUUGCGUAUAUCCACAUUUUCUGGAUGGCAUUUAGUUCUUAUAUUUUGACAAGUUUAUGAUAUUCACAUGAAUGUUUUUGAAAAAUAGCUAACCUGAUGGUUGGGCUGGUUAUUCAGCCAGAUCCAAUGACUGCAUUAUGGAGUUUGAUAUAAGCUAUUCUGCAUAUGUGUCCUCAUUUUGUUGGACAACAGUUUAAUAUAUAUGAAGAUAUGUUUCUUCAGCAAUUGUUUACUAGUUAUGUUCUCUACUUUGUUUUUACACCAGGAUGUACACAUUUAGGCCUUCAGGCAACAUUAACUUGUGAUUUCAUGGUGAAUAGCAUGCUUUUGAUUCUUCUUUCUUCAUGAUGUUUUUCUUUUUCAGUUUGCUCAUUAAGACAUCGUCUGCCUUCUUGUUUUGCUUUCUUGUUGCCAAGAACAAAUGAAUUUUUGACCUUACUGGUUCUUCAUUUUUUAUUCUUUCUAUUAUCUUAGUCUUGAAAAAAUUUUCAACUUAGUCAAUUUUGAUACUUGAAGUUAAGAAUCUCAUAUGCUCGAUGUACUUGCUUGUCAGGAAUGAGCAUCCUAUCAUUUCUGUUAUUAAAGAACACCGGACAUUUGCAAAGCUCUUGAAUUGUACAUUGGGAUCCAUUUGUUCCCUUUCUAAACUGUCUGCAAGGACACAAAGAUAUACACUCCACGGACAUUGGCUCCAAACUUCUACAGCAACUGGGAGGCUUUCAAUGGAGGAACCUAAUCUCCAGGUUUUAUCAUUUUUGCCAUACUUUCAAUGACUUUUCUUCUGUAUCGUUCUUCACUAACAUUUUAUGAUUGAUUUCUUUCUGGCUUUUGAUUUUAUAGUGUGUUGAACAUGGGGUUGACUUCAAGAUGAAUAGAAUUGAUCUAGAUGGAAAAGAGCUUGUCGAUGAAUACCACAAAGUCAAUGCUCGUGAAUUCUUUGUAGCUACUCAGGUAUUGAAGAUUAAGAUUUUGGUAUUAAAAAUGUAAUUAUUGGGGAAUUAUCAAUAGAUUUUCAUAUUGGUUUUCUUUUAAGUGUUUCAUAUAAUGAUUUCGCAGGAUGACUGGUAUCUUUUAACGGCAGAUUAUUCUCAGAUUGAAUUGCGAUUGAUGGCUCAUUUCUCUAAAGAUCCUUCGCUGGUUGAGCUACUUAAUAAGCGUGACAGUGAUGUUUUUAGUAUGAUCGCUGCAAAAUGGACUGGAAAAGUGGAGUCUAGUGUCAGCUCACAAGAGAGAGAUCAAACAAAGAGGCUAGUCUAUGGGAUGCUGUAUGGAAUGGGAGCUAAUAGCCUGGCAGAACAGUUGAACUGCACUUCAGAUGAAGCUGCAGAAAGAAUUUGCUGUUUUAAGACAUCUUUUCCUGGUGUUGCUACGUGGCUUCAGGAAGUGGUUACAUCUUGUCGCCAGAAAGGGUCUGUUCUGUUAAUAUGAGUGCAUUGUUAUGUUUACCCUGGAUUUUACUUCUCAGAGCUCGAUUAACUAUGUUUGAAUGUUGGUUUUAAAAAGCCUAAGCCAAUACAGUUAAUCCUUUUGGUCUGUCAUAUUCCAUCUCUGAACUGGUAUAAAAUGGUUCUUGGUGCUCUUUGCCCCUAAUAUGGUUGCUUACAUGUUACAUUUGAAUCUUAAAAAAAUGAGAUUUGAAUGCCAUAUUAUCUGUAUUCUAUAACAUGGCUGGGGGAAAAUCUAUUAGGUGGGAAAAAUUAGACCAAAAUUCACUUGGUGACCGUGGUGGGUGUUUGAUAGAAAUGGGGCUUUUAAGGUUCAAUUGAAAUGAGGAUUAAUUGGUUUGCUUCUAUUUAUGCAUGUUUAUGUUCAACCUCUGGAUGUUUCUCUUUCUAUGAAGGUGAACUAUAGUGUCGGUUACUAUUUGAGAUUCUUAUAAUUUUCUCAACUCAUACCGGGCUCUAGGAUUAGCUAUGUGCUUUUAUCAGGUUGUCUCCACUCUGUGGACAAUAUUCUGGAUUUAUCGUAAUCUGACUUCCUGUUCCAUUUAGAUACGUGAAGACUCUGAAGGGGCGAAAGCGUUUCUUGGCGAAGAUAAAAUUUGGAAACAGCAAAGAAAAAUCUAAAGCUCAUAGACAAGCUGUGAAUUCUAUAUGUCAGGUAGUAUCUUCAUGUUCCAUUUUUAUAUCUAUUUUUUUUGUGCUUUGUAUCUUUUUCUUUUGACUAAUUGUCAGACUAGUGGCUAGAAUCAUUUAGAUUAAACUGAUUUCGGUUCUUCAGGGUUCAGCUGCUGAUAUCAUUAAAAUUGCGAUGAUCAAUCUUCACUCUGUGGUUGCUGAAGAUGCUGACACGUCUUGCUCUAGUUGUGCGCUAGCUGAAAAAUUUCACAUGCUAAAAGGCCGCUGCAGAAUCCUUUUACAGGCAAGUAAUAGACUCUGUAUAUGACUAUACCUAUUAGGGUAACACACUAGUAUUCAUGUCUCUGAAAAUUGAUAACUGGUAUGUAUGGACCAUGGCUGUCAUGUCUUAAGACUUUGAGGACGAUAGACCAAGAUUUAUGUAAAAGUGUUAGCCUAAGCAGAUGCCUUCGACAAUCAUGUUUUUCAUUCUUUAAAUAGCUGUAAAAACAGGUAGCUAAAAAUCAUUCCCUGUGAUGAAGAUAACAGAUGAGAUUCAAUCAAGGAAAAGCUUCAUUUUACAUUUCGUGUUAGUGUAAAGAGGCAGCUGUAAACAGGUAACAGAAAAUCAUUCCCUGUGAUAAAGAGCAGAAAUGAGAUGCCAUCAAGAAAAAGCUUCAUUUUACAUUUCUUGUUAGUUGUGAGGGAAGCUAAGUUUUUGUAAACGAAUGUCGAGCUUUAAUAUAUUUUGCAAGCUUGUAUGAGUAUGUCUAAUGGAAGACAUGUUGAUCAAUUUCUCUUUUUCUUCAUGUCCUGGUGGCCAGUUAGAAUGUGAACUUUUCUUUCAUGUGCAGAUUCAAGUGAAUGCACUUGUAUUAAAGAUUAAAGUAUGUGAGUUAUUAUGCUUUUUAGAAAAAAUUAAUUGCAGUAAAUUGUUCAGAUCUCCUACUCUUCUUGUCAGAUGAUAAAUUCUUUUGCUAAUUGUAAGGCUGGCCUGAUUGGUGGGGGAGGAGAAAAUGCUUUAAGGAUCUCUUGGUUUAUAAUGAUUAGCUCACUGACUGACAACCAUAGCUAAAUUGCUGUAGUUUGGGAAGACAUAUAUGGCGAAAUCCUUGAAGGUGUAAAAUAGCCACUGAUUAAGCCAUAUGAAAGUUAUCACAUACUACAGGCAUGAUGCCACGAUCAUUUAGUCUUCUCUAUUUUAGCAUUGUUACAGUUGCAUAUAACAUUCCUGCUAGAAGUGAAACUUCAUUUAGUAUCCUUUCCUGUUAUAAUUCAUGUUUGGAAAUAGAUAAGGGACUCUUUUAUUCAUUAAAAAAAAAGUUUCCGCUUACCUUUUCCGGGUAACAACUUCAUAUCACUGUUAGUUAUGAAGAAGCUUUAUGGAUUGUUUAUUUCUUUCUGAAUAAGUACUUUAAUAGAUGCUUUAUUUAAAUUGCUAUUCAGGUACAUGAUGAAUUAGUGAUGGAAGCAGAUCCUUUAGUUGUAAAAGAAGCGGGAUUGUUGCUUCAAUUGAGCAUGGAAAGUGCUGCUUCACUUCUUGGUAAGGGGCUAACAAAAGGCGUAUGCAAUGCACAUGAAACCAUUGGUCUGAGUGCUUCCAAGGAAGUGAAAGAAAGCAUCUGUUUAUUAGGGGCUUAAUUAUGUAUCAUUUGUUUCUCAUCUUUCUCUCCCUUCUUCCCACCCUCCCUUCCUCACUCCCUCUCUGUCUGUCUGUCUGUCUGUCUCUCUCACUGUCCCUCCCUCCCUUUCUCUCUCUCUCCCCCCCCCCCCUCUCAAAGGAAAAAAAAUUACAUAUUUAUGUAGAUGUACAUAAUUCAUAGACACAAAAACACACACACAUGUUCUAAUUCAACCUGUCUCAUUCCUUUUGUUUAAAUGACCUUUCCCUUGUUACUGUUUCCUCCCUUUUGCCCUUUCUGGUUAUAUGUAAAAUAAAACUGAGUAGCCUUCUUCUGAAAAUUAAUAUGCUCAUACUGAUUUUCUUGUUGCUUUCUCAGUUCCCUUGCUUGUUAAAGUGAAGGUCGGAAAAACAUGGGGAUCUAUGGAGCCUUUCCAUCCUGAAUAAAAUAAAGACAGUUCUCCAAGAGUCUAACCCUUGACAACUCUGGGCUUUCUUUGUUCCCUUGAUUAAAGGGCAAUGUCAUCCUUAGAACAAGAUACAUGCCGUGUGCAAUAUAUAAACAUUCUGACACAUGUUAGCAAAUUGAUUGUUGUGAAAUUGCUGCUUCUCCUGAACUGGUGUUUCCAAUGGCCAUUUAUAAGCAGCGAUUAAAUAUCUUUGCCUGGCAGUGGAUUGCUUUCAAAAAGUUGACAUGCUCAAUUUGAUAAGUGUGUCUUCCACGAGUUUUCUGGCAGCUGACGGAGCACAUCUCAAGUUCGUUUCAGUUAGAUUUUAGUUGAUGAGUUUUGGAUGAAACAAUUGCUAAAAAUGGCCUCCUCUUUGUUCAGUCAACUUUAUUUCCUCUGUAAUCUCAGGACUCAUGAAGCUGUUUCAGAGAACAGAAGUCUGCUACUCAGACAUGAUCCAUUUUAUCAUCUAUUAAUGGUUGUUGGGCUGAUAAUAGUGCAGUUUAAGGAAGGGAAUUUGCGUUUUUCAUCCUGCAGACGGUCAAGAGUUGGAGAUGCUAUUCUUUUGAAGGAGCGGUUACUGAUGCAUAAUUCUCAUGACUGCAUGAUCCAAUUGAGGAAAAGCAUCUCUACAUUCUAAGGUUAGUCCGGAUUGAUCUAAACUAAAAUAUUUUAAGGUUAGUCCUGAUUGAACUAAAGCAUGCUAAAAUGAUUGAACAGACCAUUUAAUGUUGUAUUAAGAAACAUGUCUUUUUGUCUUGGCCUUGAGUGAAUGGUGUAUAGGCAUGUUCUAUCUGAAUUUUAAUUGUGGGAAGGUUCUCUUUCCCUUGCUGAUUGAAGCCAGCCCAAUGUUAAUUAACUUGAGCUGGACAAGUGCUAUCAAGAGUUUAUUGUUGUUCUUUUUAGUAUGAUAACAAGGCUCCGUUAGAGUUCUAUUCAAAAUUUGUUGUCGUGCUAAAGCAUUGGCUGGAGGGUUCUUAACUUUAUUGCCAAAUUAUUGAAAGCCAUUUGUUAAAGCUUUUAAGGAAUUAAGUGGUUUUUCUGUUGAAGAAUAUUGUUGCAUCUCAUAGAUGACUAAAAUGGAAGAUUCAGAAGAAAAUUCCAAGGAUGCUGUGGUGGCAGUAUGAAUGGAUAUUGCAUGGAAUGUCUUGCACAAAGUAAAGAUCUCGUAUAUGCAUUGUCAGAGCAAUAUCCCAACCACAAUCUCUAGCACAAUUGAACUUAAGAUGUUUAAGAUGAGAUGGAGUGGGUAUGCUGGAUUAGUUUCAUCGGUUGUUUCUUUGAGAUUCACAGGUAACAUUUGUCAAACUGAAGAAUAUUUUAGUUAUUACAUUGACAUGGCCUGAAGAUGAAGGCUCACAGUACAAUACUUCCUGCAUAUCAUGCUUAUUCAUCUAGGAUCAUCUUGGAGGAUCAGGUGGCCACUAUUUAAUUUUUCAUUUGUUGCUGUUUUUUGCACUCUCGUGGUUUCAAAAUGCAUUCUAAAAACACUUCUCACAUCGCAAGGACUUCUUUUAUUUAUUUUCUCUGUUCCAUCACCUCAUUUUUUUUCCUUCUUUCUGUAGUUCUUGAUUCUGUUCGUUAGAAAUCUAUUUUCAGUUGCCCUAGGUUGCUUUUGGGUUGGGCAUUUGUAUUUCAGGGAAAGAUGUGAGGAGUGGUUUUGAAAUCUUUGUUCUUGUUGUCUUGUCUUUAAAGAAAGACGCCUUACAGUGGUUUGUUAUUGGCUGACCCACCAUACCAGCUCCAUAAGUACUCGAAUGAAAUUACUUCAGAGGAGGACAUGAGAGCCGUACCUUACAUAAAGAAACUCACUCACUAUCUGACAUAUAUUCUAAGUAUAGAAUCUAAUACUCAGAUGUCUUUUAGUAUAGCUGGUCAGACUACAUCCUGAGUACAGAUAAUAGUUGUAAUUGAUUUCUUUCUUAGUAGACAUUUGAAUAAGAAAAUUUCUUAAUGAAAGUUAUCCACUCCAAGUUACUAAAGACUUGAAAGUAACUUGUCAAUGGCCAAUUUAUGAUGGAUAUUUGACCACCUUACUGGAACUGCUGAAGUCUUGAUGGUUUAUGAGGGAUGCGAAAUCCACAAUAAGGAGGCCAUUCAGACACUAGCAGUGGAUUUGUAGUUGUCUGAAACAUGCUACUCUGAAUCUUCUAUCUGAGGAAAACCAUCUAUGUUUGUUGAAGUGAUAUUAAACAGUCUUAUACUAAAUCCGUCAAUUAUUUUUGUUUACAGUUACGUGGUAGGCAUUUAACUUCAUCCUCUACUCUGUUGCCAUCUCUAAUCUAUACUGAGAAUUGGAUUUUGUCAAUUAUUUUGCUCAUAACUGAUGCUAAAAGACCUUUAGUGCAAUUUUAUUCCUGUGCAGGGGAAGAUUAUUUGAUUUGUAAUUAUAGUAAAAAAUGAUUUUUUAAUCUGCAUUGUGCUACUGAUAAGCACUUGAAGGAUUUGUUCACUCUGAAAUCCAAUCAAAGGAAGAGAAGUCUAAACUUUUGAGUAACUAAGAGGGAUAUGUUUAUUAGUGGAACUACAACCAGUGUAUUAUUGUUUUACAAUAGAACCAAAUGGGCAAGCAUUUGGAGUUUCCUGCACAUAUUUAUUUAGGUACCCAGACAACAUGAUCCUCGGGAAGGAAAUGGCAAACAGGAACUUGUCCUGGCUUGAUCUGCAGAACUUUGAAAGCCAAGUGUUUUGGGUUCCAUUUUGUUGUAUCUUCAUGGCAUACUGCCACUGCUUUAACUUUUGUUCCAUCUGCACCCACCAAGGAAAGUGUAUAUGCUCUAGUAGCUUGUGUUUUGUGGCAGUAAAAUACAGCAUAUGCAUAAUUUUGCUGGUGGCACACUACAGCUUUGUCAUUUGUCAUGUUUUUCACUCCUGCAAUGGUAUAUUUCUGCAGUGGAGUAUCUUUCUCUGAAUUUGUUGAUAUCGCCUGAACGUUCUUCCCCAGUUUGGAGGUGGUGAAAUCUACCAUUGCUUCCAAUGAUGUUGCACAGAACUUCUCCUCUCCCUGGAUGCCUGGCUCCUCGCACUCUUUUAUUGUAUUUUUCAUAACUUCAGCUUCCUGUGAGUUGGGCUUCACUGAGAAUUUGUUCAAGAUUUCAGUCAUUUUGUUUGAUGAGAAAGGAAUUGAUUCAGCAACCUGGCGAGGUAAGAAAGUGGCUCCAUGUGAAGUCUUGAAGAAAUGCAAGUUCAUCUUUGAUCCUCGAGUCAUGUUAUUUUCCAAGAAGAAAAGAGCUACAUUUGGGUUGUCAUGGAGCUGAUCCCUGGUUGCUGCGUAGUUAUACAAGAAUGGUGAUGUCCCUGGCCUUCCUCCCACAUAUACUGGUUUCCCCCUGUGGUGGCCUGAGGAUACGGUUACACCUCCACCAUGCCCGACAUUCACAUUGGUGCCUUCAGGAUUUCUGCCCUGUGUCUCGGAACCUCCUGGAUCCCCCGGUCCAACAUUCACGUUGGUGCCUCCUGGUGUAUUAACACCUACUCCACCAGGCCCGACGUUUACAUUGGUGCCUCCUGGUGUAUUUACAUCUACGCCACCGUGCCCAGCAUUCACGUUGGUGCCUCCUGGAUUUCCACCCUGAGUAUUAACAUCUACUCCACCACCACUUACUCCGACUGAAGUACUUUUAUCAUCCACCGUUUCUGCCAUAACAAUCAGUUAGCAUGAACACACGGAUGAAUAUACUAUUCAUACCACCUUAUAAGUAAUUUAAUGUCUUAUUCUUUCUUUCUUUAGAUAGGAUUAGUUUUCCUUGUGUAAGAAUUGUUAAAAAUCUACUUAAUCCUUUUCAUGUACCGGAUUUGCCAAUUUUUUGCUAAAAAAAAGGUAAUUUAAUGUCUUAUGCUCUGUAGUAGUAUUUAUUCUAGAGUUUGCUGACUCGUUCCCUUUUAACCUUUGUAUCACUGUUUAUUGCCUAAGCCUAAUUUGUGGUUUCUCGAGAACAUUACUGGCAUGUAGAAACAUGAAAUGCAUAGAGACAAAAAAGCAUUUUGUUUUUGAAUAACAACAGUGAAAGAACAGCUUUUAGGUUUGAGUCUGACCAGAUUGUAUAAGAUCCUCGAUAGCUUUCGGCAUAGGACUGUUAGGGAGCACAGAUUUCCAAUAUGUCUCAGCAGGUUGUGCUGCGUGGCUUGACACACAAGCUAGCUGAAACACACAGACGAACAAGUGAACAUUUUAUUGGAAAAGGCGUAAAAGAGAAUACAUUUUAUUGGCAAAAGCGUAAAUAAUUGAUACAAUGUUGUACUCACAGCAACAAAGAUGAAGAGAUGUAGGGGUCGAAACUCCAUUUUGUAAGAGACUGGCCGCCAAGGGAAGUGUAAACAGAAGUGAAAUUUUAUGAUAGAUGUGAAAAAUGAAACCACAACUUUCUUGAAGAUAAAAGGCAACAACUAUAGUGCUAUUUAUAGCCGAAUGUGGGUUCAGGGUAAAAUGUCAGCAGAUAAGCAACAGAUCAUCUCUACUGAUGACUUGUGCUCUAAUCACUUCCAACUGUGGCUUAAACGCAUUAAUGCCAAUUGAGCCAAAUGUAUCAGUGAGUUACAUGUGUGAAGUUCUGCGCGUUUGUGUGUGAGAUACAGAUGCCUGUUUCCUAAUUGCAUACGCAAACGAUAAUCCUGUCUGGUCUGAUCUGAUAAUGGUCAAUCCUUACUUGAUCAAUGCUAUCAGACAAAGGGUUUCAGCUGGAAGUUGAGAGCUCAAGUUUUAAGCCUUGCGCUUAUGGCAAUCUGGCGUCAUCUUUAUCGAUUAGUUUUCUGGCCAUCCCAACUCUCUCAUUGGUUUCUUUUUCUAGCCGUCCUCCCUCUUUUUCCGACCCUCUCUUUCUCUCAAACUCUUUCUUAUUUCUUCUCUCCAACCGCCACCCAAAGCUCUCCUCUUUCCUGGUUUUCUAUCAACCCAGCUGUCAUCUAUUCUUUUCGUUUCUUUCUCUUGCCGUCCCCAAAACCUCUCUCUAUCUCUCAAAACCUAGCUAUCAUUCUAGAUUCAUCCCCCCCUCCAGGUGUCCUAGACACCUGGCCUUUUACAGCUCCAAAUUUCAUCUCCAGGACCUCUUCCAAUCUCAUUUGCAAGUUGCGGCAAAAAACGCAGUUUUCUGCAUUGCCGUGACUCUUUUUUUUUUUUUUGAAAAGUAAGAAAUAAUUUUAACUAAAAUAAAUAAAAAUACUAAAAAAAAUGCCCAAAACAUAUUUUUGUGAACAAAUUCUUUUCUUACAAAUUUUAUGCUAAAAUUCUUAUAAAUAAAAAUAAACAACUAAAAAACAAAAACAAAAUAAAACUAAAAAAUGAAAUAAAAGACAAAAAUAAAUUAAGAUGCUAUAAAAAUACUAGAAAAUGCCCAAAACAAAAAUUAUGAAACUAAUAUAUAUGAUUAUCACUAAAAUAAAAUAAAAAUAAAAAAAAUAAAAAUUAAAUAAAAGUAAAAUAAAAUCGUUCAAAAUUUUGGUGUCUACACCCUCCACUCGCAGCAUCAAUGAUAUUCCUGUAUCUGAAGAUUAGUCCCUCGUAAAAAUAUUGUAUGAGCAACUGCUCACUUAUUUGGUACUGAGAGCACUUGAUGCACAACUUCUUGAAUCGCUCCCAGUAGUCGUAGAGUGACUCCUGGAUGCUGUUUGAUACCACAGAUCUCCUUUUUAGACUUAGUUGACAUGCUCAAUUUGAUAAGUGUGUCUUCCACGAGUUUUCUGGCAGCUGACGGAGCACAUCUCAAGUUCGUUUCAGUUAGAUUUUAGUUGAUGAGUUUUGGAUGAAACAAUUGCUAAAAAAGGCCUCCUCUUUGUUCAGUUAACUUUAUUUCCUCUGUAAUCUCAGGACUCAUGAAGCUGUUUCAGAGAACACAAGUCUGCUACUCACACAUGAUCCAUUUUAUCAUCUAUUAAUGGUUGUUGGGCUGAUAAUAGUGCAGUUUAAGGAAGGGAAUUUGCGUUUUUCAUCCUGCAGACGGUCAAGAGUUGGAGAUGCUAUUCUUUUGAAGGAGCGGUUACUGAUGCAUAAUUCUCAUGACUGCAUGAUCCAAUUGAGGAAAAGCAUCUCUACAUUCUAAGGUUAGUCCGGAUUGAUCUAAACUAAAAUAUUUUAAGGUUAGUCCUGAUUGAACUAAAGCAUGCUAAAAUGAUUGAACAGACCAUUUAAUGUUGUAUUAAGAAACAUGUCUUUUUGUCUUGGCCUUGAGUGAAUGGUGUAUAGGCAUGUUCUAUCUGAAUUUUAAUUGUGGGAAGGUUCUCUUUCCCUUGCUGAUUGAAGCCAGCCCAAUGUUAAUUAACUUGAGCUGGACAAGUGCUAUCAAGAGUUUAUUGUUGUUCUUUUUAGUAUGAUAACAAGGCUCCGUUAGAGUUCUAUUCAAAAUUUGUUGUCGUGCUAAAGCAUUGGCUGGAGGGUUCUUAACUUUAUUGCCAAAUUAUUGAAAGCCAUUUGUUAAAGCUUUUAAGGAAUUAAGUGGUUUUUCUGUUGAAGAAUAUUGUUGCAUCUCAUAGAUGACUAAAAUGGAAGAUUCAGAAGAAAAUUCCAAGGAUGCUGUGGUGGCAGUAUGAAUGGAUAUUGCAUGGAAUGUCUUGCACAAAGUAAAGAUCUCGUAUAUGCAUUGUCAGAGCAAUAUCCCAACCACAAUCUCUAGCACAAUUGAACUUAAGAUGUUUAAGAUGAGAUGGAGUGGGUAUGCUGGAUUAGUUUCAUCGGUUGUUUCUUUGAGAUUCACAGGUAACAUUUGUCAAACUGAAGAAUAUUUUAGUUAUUACAUUGACAUGGCCUGAAGAUGAAGGCUCACAGUACAAUACUUCCUGCAUAUCAUGCUUAUUCAUCUAGGAUCAUCUUGGAGGAUCAGGUGGCCACUAUUUAAUUUUUCAUUUGUUGCUGUUUUUUGCACUCUCGUGGUUUCAAAAUGCAUUCUAAAAACACUUCUCACAUCGCAAGGACUUCUUUUAUUUAUUUUCUCUGUUCCAUCACCUCAUUUUUUUUCCUUCUUUCUGUAGUUCUUGAUUCUGUUCGUUAGAAAUCUAUUUUCAGUUGCCCUAGGUUGCUUUUGGGUUGGGCAUUUGUAUUUCAGGGAAAGAUGUGAGGAGUGGUUUUGAAAUCUUUGUUCUUGUUGUCUUGUCUUUAAAGAAAGACGCCUUACAGUGGUUUGUUAUUGGCUGACCCACCAUACCAGCUCCAUAAGUACUCGAAUGAAAUUACUUCAGAGGAGGACAUGAGAGCCGUACCUUACAUAAAGAAACUCACUCACUAUCUGACAUAUAUUCUAAGUAUAGAAUCUAAUACUCAGAUGUCUUUUAGUAUAGCUGGUCAGACUACAUCCUGAGUACAGAUAAUAGUUGUAAUUGAUUUCUUUCUUAGUAGACAUUUGAAUAAGAAAAUUUCUUAAUGAAAGUUAUCCACUCCAAGUUACUAAAGACUUGAAAGUAACUUGUCAAUGGCCAAUUUAUGAUGGAUAUUUGACCACCUUACUGGAACUGCUGAAGUCUUGAUGGUUUAUGAGGGAUGCGAAAUCCACAAUAAGGAGGCCAUUCAGACACUAGCAGUGGAUUUGUAGUUGUCUGAAACAUGCUACUCUGAAUCUUCUAUCUGAGGAAAACCAUCUAUGUUUGUUGAAGUGAUAUUAAACAGUCUUAUACUAAAUCCGUCAAUUAUUUUUGUUUACAGUUACGUGGUAGGCAUUUAACUUCAUCCUCUACUCUGUUGCCAUCUCUAAUCUAUACUGAGAAUUGGAUUUUGUCAAUUAUUUUGCUCAUAACUGAUGCUAAAAGACCUUUAGUGCAAUUUUAUUCCUGUGCAGGGGAAGAUUAUUUGAUUUGUAAUUAUAGUAAAAAAUGAUUUUUUAAUCUGCAUUGUGCUACUGAUAAGCACUUGAAGGAUUUGUUCACUCUGAAAUCCAAUCAAAGGAAGAGAAGUCUAAACUUUUGAGUAACUAAGAGGGAUAUGUUUAUUAGUGGAACUACAACCAGUGUAUUAUUGUUUUACAAUAGAACCAAAUGGGCAAGCAUUUGGAGUUUCCUGCACAUAUUUAUUUAGGUACCCAGACAACAUGAUCCUCGGGAAGGAAAUGGCAAACAGGAACUUGUCCUGGCUUGAUCUGCAGAACUUUGAAAGCCAAGUGUUUUGGGUUCCAUUUUGUUGUAUCUUCAUGGCAUACUGCCACUGCUUUAACUUUUGUUCCAUCUGCACCCACCAAGGAAAGUGUAUAUGCUCUAGUAGCUUGUGUUUUGUGGCAGUAAAAUACAGCAUAUGCAUAAUUUUGCUGGUGGCACACUACAGCUUUGUCAUUUGUCAUGUUUUUCACUCCUGCAAUGGUAUAUUUCUGCAGUGGAGUAUCUUUCUCUGAAUUUGUUGAUAUCGCCUGAACGUUCUUCCCCAGUUUGGAGGUGGUGAAAUCUACCAUUGCUUCCAAUGAUGUUGCACAGAACUUCUCCUCUCCCUGGAUGCCUGGCUCCUCGCACUCUUUUAUUGUAUUUUUCAUAACUUCAGCUUCCUGUGAGUUGGGCUUCACUGAGAAUUUGUUCAAGAUUUCAGUCAUUUUGUUUGAUGAGAAAGGAAUUGAUUCAGCAACCUGGCGAGGUAAGAAAGUGGCUCCAUGUGAAGUCUUGAAGAAAUGCAAGUUCAUCUUUGAUCCUCGAGUCAUGUUAUUUUCCAAGAAGAAAAGAGCUACAUUUGGGUUGUCAUGGAGCUGAUCCCUGGUUGCUGCGUAGUUAUACAAGAAUGGUGAUGUCCCUGGCCUUCCUCCCACAUAUACUGGUUUCCCCCUGUGGUGGCCUGAGGAUACGGUUACACCUCCACCAUGCCCGACAUUCACAUUGGUGCCUUCAGGAUUUCUGCCCUGUGUCUCGGAACCUCCUGGAUCCCCCGGUCCAACAUUCACGUUGGUGCCUCCUGGUGUAUUAACACCUACUCCACCAGGCCCGACGUUUACAUUGGUGCCUCCUGGUGUAUUUACAUCUACGCCACCGUGCCCAGCAUUCACGUUGGUGCCUCCUGGAUUUCCACCCUGAGUAUUAACAUCUACUCCACCACCACUUACUCCGACUGAAGUACUUUUAUCAUCCACCGUUUCUGCCAUAACAAUCAGUUAGCAUGAACACACGGAUGAAUAUACUAUUCAUACCACCUUAUAAGUAAUUUAAUGUCUUAUUCUUUCUUUCUUUAGAUAGGAUUAGUUUUCCUUGUGUAAGAAUUGUUAAAAAUCUACUUAAUCCUUUUCAUGUACCGGAUUUGCCAAUUUUUUGCUAAAAAAAAGGUAAUUUAAUGUCUUAUGCUCUGUAGUAGUAUUUAUUCUAGAGUUUGCUGACUCGUUCCCUUUUAACCUUUGUAUCACUGUUUAUUGCCUAAGCCUAAUUUGUGGUUUCUCGAGAACAUUACUGGCAUGUAGAAACAUGAAAUGCAUAGAGACAAAAAAGCAUUUUGUUUUUGAAUAACAACAGUGAAAGAACAGCUUUUAGGUUUGAGUCUGACCAGAUUGUAUAAGAUCCUCGAUAGCUUUCGGCAUAGGACUGUUAGGGAGCACAGAUUUCCAAUAUGUCUCAGCAGGUUGUGCUGCGUGGCUUGACACACAAGCUAGCUGAAACACACAGACGAACAAGUGAACAUUUUAUUGGAAAAGGCGUAAAAGAGAAUACAUUUUAUUGGCAAAAGCGUAAAUAAUUGAUACAAUGUUGUACUCACAGCAACAAAGAUGAAGAGAUGUAGGGGUCGAAACUCCAUUUUGUAAGAGACUGGCCGCCAAGGGAAGUGUAAACAGAAGUGAAAUUUUAUGAUAGAUGUGAAAAAUGAAACCACAACUUUCUUGAAGAUAAAAGGCAACAACUAUAGUGCUAUUUAUAGCCGAAUGUGGGUUCAGGGUAAAAUGUCAGCAGAUAAGCAACAGAUCAUCUCUACUGAUGACUUGUGCUCUAAUCACUUCCAACUGUGGCUUAAACGCAUUAAUGCCAAUUGAGCCAAAUGUAUCAGUGAGUUACAUGUGUGAAGUUCUGCGCGUUUGUGUGUGAGAUACAGAUGCCUGUUUCCUAAUUGCAUACGCAAACGAUAAUCCUGUCUGGUCUGAUCUGAUAAUGGUCAAUCCUUACUUGAUCAAUGCUAUCAGACAAAGGGUUUCAGCUGGAAGUUGAGAGCUCAAGUUUUAAGCCUUGCGCUUAUGGCAAUCUGGCGUCAUCUUUAUCGAUUAGUUAGUAGUUUUUUUUUCAAGUUUUUGACGUAUGGCUUCAAUCCUGCUCUUAAUGUGGCUGACAAACUUGAAGUAUAUCCAAAGUGAUUUGCUAGUUUUACUAAGCUUAGCUACAGGAUUUGGAUGAUCAUCUUUCAGUCACAGAAGAAUGUCAAAAAAAUCACAUAAACGUAUUAUGCAUACCUAUUAACUACUAUUUUUAUACACAGAAAGCCAUUAACUAUUUUCAUACUUUUCUUGCUUGCAAGUUUGAAAGGAAACUGUUUGGCGUUGUGAAAUUAUGGUGCAUAUCCAAUCCCGGUUUUCUUGUUAUGGUAUAACUUUUUUAUUUUAGCAUAAAUUCAAGAUAGAUCCAAUUAUAUAACCGUAUUUGUCAUGAACAUUUACGUUUUCGCUUUUUAUUACUCAUCGUUUUAGUAGAUAAUAAGUAAGGAAUGAAUCCGGUAUUAUUUUUUCUAACACCAAAUAGAAAAUUGUUCUUUUAAAACCGAACAUUUUACUUUCCCCAACUUCGGACAACACAUUUUGUGAGCUGUUUAAUCAAAAAAAUUGUUUCUCUCGAGUAGACAAAAAAAAAAAAAAAGAAAGAAAAAACACAAAGUCCUUUAAUGCAGUAUAUGUUCUGAUUUUUUUGACACAUUUUGCCGACUUUCAUUAUUGUAAUAACAUGCUGCAAUAAAUGUGUCACUCAAAUUCAAACAGUUUGUUGGUAGCUGGGGUGGUUGUUAUCUCUUAUACCUUCAAACCUCCUGCCUGUAUUCAAUACUGCCUAGUACUUUCUUAAGCACUGCAAUUUGUUCUUUUACUAUUACUAUUAAAAUUUCAGUAAUGCAGAAACUCUAGAAUGUAUUUGUUACACUUAUCCGUACAUGUAAUGAACACAUUCUACACCCCUUAGAUUUUUUGAAGGUAAAAUCUUGUUUAUAAUUCAAUUUUUUGUAAUAAUAAAAUGACAUCUUAGAAAAAAAAAAUAAUAGAACGACAUUUUUUUUAUCUUUGUCCUUUGAUUUUGAAAUAUUCUGUGGAUAGUGGAGAUUUUUUGUCUUAUUUAACUAAUUUUUAUCUUUCGAUUAGCUUUGACCAUUAGUGUAAGUGGCAAAUUAAGUUGUUUUGGGACCAAAUGUUAAAAGGGAUUUACGCUCAUUUACCAUUGACUAAAUACUUCCUCAAACUAAACUUUUCAUCUUCUUGCAUUAGAAGGCAAUGAAAUUUGAGUGGAAAAAUUCCUUCCCCUUGUAUUUUCUUAACCGAGAUCAAGUUGAGAUAGGCAAAUUAACCAUAGAUUGUUAAGAAAAUUUUUUUUUUAUUCUGUACGUAGUCCAUAUAUUAAAAACUAGAAGAAACUUCUGCAAAAGGACUCCACGUAACUAAAAUUACUAAAGAGACUAAUAUGCGAUAAUAUGAUAGGUGUCUGGUUCACAUCUGGUGUCUACUCUGGAAACCAUAUUUCAUACAGAUAAUUUUAAGGACAAAGCUGCAGAAGUACACAAGUAUUUCAGGUUUUAGCACUCAUCUUAUCUAUAUGAUCAGAACUUCGAACCCCAAGCUGAAGCUACCAUGGAACGGAACAUAAAUUAAAGACAACUCGAAAUGGAUAAGACUAAAGUAAAGGAGGGAUCUCAAGGAUUUUCUUCACAAAUUCAGUUCUUGGGAACCCAAACAACAUGGUCCUCAGGAAGGAAAUGGCAUAUUGGAACGGUUCCUGGCUUCACCUUUAGCACCUGGAAAGCCAAAUGCUUUGGGUUCCAUUUUGCUGUAUCUUCGUGGCAAACAGCCACAGCUUUAGCUUUCUUUCCAUCCGCUCCAACCAAAGUAACCUCAUAUGCUUCGGUGGCCUGCGUGGAAUGGCAGUAAAAAACUGCGUAGGCAUAGUUUUGCUUGUGGCAAACCACAGCCUUAUUAUUGUUUAACUUCUUGACACCCACAAUACCAUAUUUCUGGGCUUUGGUGUCCUCUUCUGCUUCUGUGGAAACCGCCUGAACAUUAUUUCCUAACUUGGACGUGCUGAAAUCGACCAUGGACUCGAGGGAAGUUGCACAGUAUUUGUCCUCCCCUUUGAUUCCGGGCUCCUCGCACUCCUUUAUCGUAUUCUUAAUAGUCUCAGCUUCGACAGAUUCCGGCUUCACUGAGAAUUUGUCGAAAAUUUCGGGUAUGUAUUUGGAUGAGAAAGGUACGGAAUCAGCAACCUUGCGAGGCAAGAAAGUUGCGGGAUUUGAUGAUUUGACGAACUGCAAAUUCAUGCUUGUCCCGCGGUGCAGAUCCUUUUUCAAGAAGAAAAGGGCUACAUUUGGAUUAUCAUGGAGUUGAUCCUCGGUGGCUGCAUACACGUAGAUGAAUGGGUUGCGACCUGGUGUUACUCCAACAUAUACUGGAUGACCCUUGUGGCCGGUGUGGACGGUAACGCCUCCCUUUCCGACGCCGACGUUGGUUUGGGGCUUUCCGGCGGUUACUCCGACGCCUCUGUGACCAACACCAACAUUGGUGCCGCUGCCAGCGGGCUUUCCUUUCCCAGUAUUGACGUUUACUCCUCCCUUUCCUACUGCAACUGAAGCGCUCUUGUCUUCCAACCAUUCUGGGAAAAUAUCACUUAAUCUUCAUACAUAGCAAGGUCAUUGAAACUAAAACCUCAUUUUAUAAUUCCAUAUACCAAUUCUUUUGCAUAGAAAGGCAUAAUAUUCUCAGUUAUAAUAGAUGGAUUGAGGCUAGUGAGGAUUAAUCAAAAAGUUUUAGAAUAGAGGGUACAAAGGAGAAGAUAUAGCUAAUUAGUAAUCGGAAGGUUGUAAUCGGAAGUAUCUUUUAGUGAUCUUUUAAGUCACAGUACAAAGUAGAAUGGUGCAAUUGAUACACUUACUAUAUUUGCGAAAGAAGAUUGAUUUCACUUUCUAGCUUUAAAUUCUCUACUAGAAAAUUUUUUGUUGGAAUUCAGUUUCCAUCUUUCACUCACAAUUUUUCCACAUAGUAAACUGGUGACAAAACAUCAUUUUGUUGACAAGAGCAAUUGCAACUCUGAGCAGCAUGUGUACUUAUUCAAAUAUUAAAAAAAAAAAAAAGAAGGAAGAGGAAUAGUAACAGAAGAAAUUCCUUGUAUCUAACAUUAUUUAAAACUAGAAAAUGCACAGCUAACCACUCAAGCACUUAAUAUAGGGGUCACCAUCAACUAUUUCUGGUUAAUGUUUUAUUUUAUUUUUUAUGUAUAAGUCACCAUCUACUAUUUAAUUCAGAGAGGACACCAUCAGCUAUUAUUUGAAGUGGUUGCUGGCUACUAAAUUACACAAUUGAUGAGCAGUACCUGGAGAAUUUCUGUAUAUGAAAAUUCACUUUCAGAGGUAAAACCACUCUAUUGCACUUAUGUUGGUGAUUAAUCUUGGAAAGAAAUUAGAAAGAAAGAAACUAAAAUGGCAGAGAGAGAGAGAGAGAGAGAGAGAGAGAAUCCGUUUUCAUCUUUGUCAAAGAUGACAAAUUCAUUUCUAGUUUUGUGAAAAGCAUUUGUAGUGAAGCUCCAAAAGUUCUAAAAUUGUAUAUCUAAGCGUUUAAGCUUUUGAACUUAGUGAGUGCCAUUUAAAUUAUUGCCAUGCUUCGACUAUAAAUAUACUAUUCAAAUUGUAUCAAGUCAAAAUGAUGUUUUUGGAGUAUAAAAAUCGUUGGCAUACUACCACCCACUAAUCAUAAUGCAUAUAUAUCCUUCAUACAAGCACAAGAAACGAAAAUUGACCCAAGGAAGACGAACCACUGUGUAGAAUGUCCCUUACUGCCUUUGGCAUAGGAGUGUUUGGCAGCUUGGAUUUCCAAUAAAUAUCAAGAUCUGCAUGGCUUGCUACAACUGCCAGCUGACAUAAAUUAUAGUACAAAGAAAAAUGAUCAGAAAAGUAACAGGGAUUCCCAGAGAAGUUAAUUAGCAAACAUUCAAUAUUGUUCAUGGAAAAAGAGAAGUUUCUACUCACGGAAAGAAAUGUACAAAUGUGGAGGAGCUUGAGCAAUUCCAUGACAGUUUGGACAAAAACAAAACACAGGGCAGAGUGGUUGGAACUGAGACGGACUUUUAAGUGGUACUGAAGGGCAAGAUGUACAACACAGAGUAAAUUGGCAUCAUUAUUUAUAAGCGAACAUUAUGAAAAAUUAGGUGCUUGAGAAAAGCAACGUAUCACCUAAAUUGAUGACUAGUUUAAUUGCUUCAACUGUCUUAGGCUUUUGGCCAUUCAAUGCUAUGAAGCCACAUGUGAAUGUGGGGUACAAAUUAAACACGGAUGGACGAUAUUCGUACAAAUUUGCCAGAAAGUUGUCAGUCAUAUAAUCUAGUUCCGUUCUCAAGGGUUAGAGCCUUAAAGGGGGACAAGAAAUGACUAUAUGGCAUGUCUAGCGUCUUCCCCCUGCUCAUCACUGAACCAAGGGAUGAUAGAAUGGGACGGCCCUUAUUGUGUUGGACUUUUGAAUCGUCCAGCUAAUAACAAUCAACCACCAAAUUUAAUAAGGCUAAUACUUAACCCUACUAAUUUGAACUCUGCAUGCAUGCUGCGCCACGUAAAUUUUUGUACCAUACGUAUCUUCUGAUUGGAAAUUGGUAUGUUAGGGACUUUGGCUAGAAGCCCGGAAGCCUGGUCCAUGCAUAUAUCGAUUAGUCCAUUUCAUGGGACUCAUUUUGAUAUCUAUGGCACAAUAGACGUCUCAAAGUUUUCAGACGCAUUGGCUACCUGGUUUUUAUUGUCAGUUUUUGGAAAUGUUCUCUUAUUAUGAAUUUGAAAUACAUCUUUAUUUUUCCAACAAUCUUUUUACAUCAAAUACUUCUCAUCACAAACGUAGUACAGAUAAUAUUGCUUUUUAGGAACACUACUAAGAAAUACAACCCAAGUGCAAAGGAUGCAGGACUUUUCUUGUUCUGGAAAACUCCUACUACUUGGCAUAAUUUCAGUUUACUACCUAGAACCUGUUGUUGCAUCUUUGUCUUUCAUUUGGACAUACUAUCUUUUAAUAUUUCCAAAUAUCAUCCUUUUUGCUCAAUUCUCAAGAACAAUAUUUGCACACGAUGCUCUCGACUGAUAGAUACUUCCAUCAUCAUUGAUUGAAGAUCGCAUGGUGGAGUUAUGCUAAUUCAGUUGGCAUUGAAUCAGCAAAGAUAUAUAUACAUUUUUUAGGGGUACAAAUUAAGAGAUAACCAUACAAUUACGACAAACUGUCCCACAAACUUGGGGGAGGUUCCCAAUCACCACUGACCCUAUUGGUCAAGUGGUAAGACCACGAGCCAUAUUGGCCAGUUGCUGAGAACUCAGAAGUUGGAACCAAGCCGUACCAAAAAAAAAAAAAAAGAAGAAAAGAAGUUGGAACCAAUGGGGCAUGGGGAAGUGCAUUCGAGCCUUUAAAGCCACUUCCUGGCCAACUCGCCACCAAUAUUCAAUAAACAUGUGAAAACUCAUUUUCGCAGUUACUUUAAGGAUGGCAAACUAAUAAUAAUCUGACUUAGUUUGUUGAUAAAUACUAAGUAGUAGUAUAAAGACAAAAACAAUUAGUGUAAAGACAGUAGGUCCAAAACAUACGUAAAUUCGAUUAGACCAAGUUUAACCGUCCAGAUUAAAUUAUGUUUUCCACCAAUAUGAUUUAGCAUGUAUUUUAC
This 45173-nucleotide long non-coding RNA is filed under the name Coffea arabica (coffee). RNAcentral describes it as "long non-coding RNA (CARA_LNC006063)". The record is from RNAcentral. Lineage: Eukaryota; Viridiplantae; Streptophyta; Magnoliopsida; Gentianales; Rubiaceae.